RNAcentral lists this long non-coding RNA (51708 nucleotides) under Lactuca sativa (garden lettuce). RNAcentral describes it as "long non-coding RNA (LSAT_LNC001121)". The stretch from base 44508 to 44614 matches the Rfam family "Plant small nucleolar RNA R71". The record is from RNAcentral. Lineage: Eukaryota; Viridiplantae; Streptophyta; Magnoliopsida; Asterales; Asteraceae.
ACUCCGAUUGACGAGAUUCAAAAUGUUCUGAAAAGUAGACAUAAUUUCGGACGACUUUCGUGUUUUGAGAAAAUGCUGAUUCGAAACGUACUCGGCGAGUAGGGUCGAUUACUCGGCGAGUUGUAUCGAACUUUCGCGAUUCUGGACGCGCUGACUUGCCGUGCACGGGUUUUAAGUGACGGACUCGCCGAGUAGGUCACUGGACUCGCCGAGUAGCCUCUGUUUUGUGAAAAUCUAUAUAAAGGGACUUUCAGAUCGAUACCCUAGCAUGGAGAGAAACCCUAGGAGGCUGAGAAACGAUUGGAAGUGCUGCUAGGUCGUGAGGAACUGAAGAAUCAACCCUACAUUCAAUUGUGAAGAGAAUCAAGACAAUUUUGGUUUAUUCUUAGUAACUUUUUGAUUUGAAUCAUGUUUACAUACUUUGAUUUCGUUUUUGAGUUUAUGUUUACUGCAAUCAUGAGCUAAAAACUUAUUCUUCUGUUAGGGUAGACAAUUUUGUGAACAUGGAUUGAUUAUUUGAGUAGGAUUAAUUUUAAUUGGUAAUUAUGUUUAGUUAAGCUUGUUAAAGAACCUUAUGUGUUGACAAUAACUAUUCUUCUGUUAAUAAAUCAGUAAUUAAGUUGUAUGAACAUCUCUUAGUUAUUAAUUUCAUAUGAUUUAUUGUGACCACAUAGUUGUAUGUCUAGGAAUAACGAAUGUGAAACUAGAAUUAACUAGAAGAUAGGUAAGUUAAUGUGUGAGAUUGUUUGAUGAACAUCAGCAAUAGGUUAAUUGAAGGGUCAAUUUAAUUAACCAUUACAAGUCUUACUUAACCCGAAUCAAUAAUCUAGGAAACCCGUUAAUUUAGACAACUGGCCAUUGCUUGAGUUAAUUUGUUUUCUAAGAAUUAGGAAUAGCGAACGUGAACCUAAUUAUCUUAAUCGGUAGCCAAUGAAGAAUUAAUCCGAUACAUUAAAAUCAUCCAUGGGAACAAAUGAGUCGUACCUAAACAGAAGUCCUCUUUACUAUUGAAUUUAGUUGGUAAUUAAUUGUUUUAGUUGCUAGUUAGUUAAUUUGUGUGUUGGUUAUUCUAAUUAAGUUUCUAGUCUUGUAAAACUAGAGAAAACCCCCCUUUUUGUUAUUUGUUUUAUUUAGAUAAUAUUAGCAUUUAUUUUAAUUGUUUACCGUUCCCUGUGUUCGAUACCCUACUUUCUUGAACUAUAUUACUAAUCGAUAGGUACACUGCCUUUCGUGUGUUUAUUUUGUGUCUAAGUUAGUAGGAUUAAAACUAGUUCGUUUCACACACAUCAAUACACGUAUAGACAUAAAGGUUUACAUCGACCAGUUCAUUUCCCUUGGGUAGCAAGGGCAUCCUUCCAUUCAUCACUCAUAGAUCAGAGACACUAGUAACUAUUAUAGGAAUAGUUAAGAGGUUCUAUUCACUCUUUCUAGUACGAGAAUUCCAAAGGAGUCAGUUCAUUCGCGAGUCUAUAACAUUUCUCCAGCGCCUCUAAUAGAAUCCAGAAUACGAGAUGCAUCUUCAGGACACGGAUCUCCCCGUCGUCAAGUUGGUAACCAGAGUCUCCUGGAGGGAGAGCGGGCAUUGUAUGUAUAGAUCUAUACGGGACUGACACUCCCGCACCCUGACUGCUAGCUACAGUCCUCGGCCUACCAAGCCAAGGGGUGACAAAUGUCACAUUUAUUCCGACGCUUGCAGGGCGUCAAGUACUCUAGUGUCAAUCAGUAUGGUUACGAGUAUCUCCAUGUUUACCUUAUAAUUCAUGGCCUUAAGGUAACGAAAAUUAACAAUGUAUUUAUGAAACAACACUCUUAGGAUUACUCUUUGUAUUAGACCUUGCUAGCUGUAUCGUUCAUUUGAUACUGUCUGGGGUCUGUGUUUCUUUGUUUUAGACCUUGCUAGUUGUAUCGUUCAUUUGAUACUGUCUGGGGUCUGUGUUUCUUUGUUUUAGACCUUGCUAGCCGUAUCGUACAUUUGAUGCCGUCUGGGGUCUGUGUUUCCUUUUGUUAGACUGAUUCAGGCGUAUCAUUCAUUCGAUACUCUCCUGGACUCUAUGAUUUCUUUUGCCUUAGUCAGCAGUGUUUUCUGCUGAGGCAUAUGUUAUUUUCCCCUAGUAUUUUACUAGUGAUAUUCUCCUACUUUCUUUAAAGUCAAAUACCGUAUUUUGGGUAAUGAUAGUAUUUCAGGGAAAAUUUCUCUUUAAAACACAACACUGUCGAGUCUUGGUAGAAAACUGCUUUUAAUUAGAAAAUAUAAGAUUUUCUGGAAAGGACGCUAAUACACCGUAGAUUCUAAACUACUACUUUUUAUAAAGUUAUUUUGAAAAAAAUGCUUACUUACACAAAUGACACUAAAUACUUAUGAACUCACCAGCAUUUAUAAAAAUGUUGAUACUCGCUUUCAAAAUAACUUGUAUUCUCAGGUUAGCAAUAGACAGGUACACCCGGGAGCUUUUGUGAAGCCAGCCUAGAACCGAGUUGCAUCUAUACUAGUUUCUGUAUUACUUUGAUAUUACUAUAACAUGUAUCCGAUGUAAAAUUAUUAGUAUUAAUGCAAUGGUUGUUGUACUUUGAUUACUAUACUGCAUAUGUUGUGAUACUUGACAUGACGUCAUCCACUCCGGAACGUUUCCGCCGUUCCGGUUUUGGGGUGUGACAAACUCGGCGAGUCGUAAACCGGACACAUUCUUAUGAGGAAGAUGAACUCGCUGAGUUCAAGGAAGAACUCAAUGAGUCGGAUGAUGAUGGUCCCGAUGGUUUGAAUGAAGGAGAACCCGUCGAGUUCUUGCUAGACUCGACGAGUGGAUUCGGGGUUGGAUCGGGUUAGUGGGGUAUGGACUCGACGAGUUGGUAGACCAACUCGGCAAGUCAGGUCAACUGGGUGUUGACUUUGACCAAUGUUGACUUUGCCUGGUUUUGGUAUGACCCCGGUUAGGGUUGCAUACUCAGAUGAAUAACUUUGAAGUAUUUUCGUGUAGGGAUCUAGGAGUCGAGGGUAGUCGACUUGUACGCCGGAGACAGUUCAGAUACUGCACGACAUCGAGGUGAGUUACCUUCCAAUAGGGGUGGGUCUAAGGCCACAAUGCCGGCCCACCAACAAGAGUAAUUGGUAGAUAAUUGUCUUUGUGAUAAUUAGCUUGGCAAGAUUAUGUGAUAUGCUUAUGAGAUAUGCUUAUGUGAUAUGCUAUGUGAAUUAGUGGUAGUAGCAAGGAAUAGCCUUUCCCUGACUUGGUCAUUAGGACCGAAGGGUAGGUCAGUACCCCAGAUAUGCCUGAGCGUAUGAUUAUAUUUGGUUAUUAUAUGAUAGAGGUAGGGGUGAAAUAGUCCCCGAUGCUGGGUGAGAUAGACCGGAGGCUAGUUGGCACCCUAGAACGGCCUGACAAGGGUAGUCGGCACCCCAGAACGGCCUGGCAAGGGUAGGUCGGCACCCUAGAACGUCCUGACAUGGGUAGGUUAGCACCCCAGAAUGGCUUGACAUAGGUAGGUCGGGCACCCCAGAAUUGCCCGACAGUAUGUAUGUUAUGUGAUUAUAUGGUAUGUGGUAUGUUGGGGGAACUCACUAAGCUUUGUGCUUACAGUUUCAGUUUUGGUUUCAGGUACCUCUUCGUCUAAAGGGAAGGAGCCAGUGGUGUAGCAGCGCAUCACAUACACACAUGAUUUCCGCUUAGAGUUUUCUGGGAUUGUACUCUGAUAUUUUGUUACUCCAAGAUGAUUUGGUUUUGUGACAUGAUAUUAUGGUUUUAUGUAUUGACAUGAUCUUGGCAAUGUUUUGAUAAACUAAUUUAAAAACCACUUAAUUAAAAACGAAAUUUUUGGACUCAAAAAUUGGGAUGUUACAAUAUAAUAAUAAGAGGCCAUGAUAGUACAACCAUCUUCAAAAUGUACAAGUGGAUGCAGGAGGACAUCGAACCAAAAUGACAAAACCCAAUUUGUCAAAACCGUGGCAUCAAUCAUUCUUCAAUAACACUAUGCUCGGAUGCUAUCUAAUCAAGAUAUGAGAAUGCCAUGUUCAGGUCCAAUCUACUGCAACAAUGUCAAGUUUUUUAGUACGAUCAUGGAUAGUUUCUUGUUCGAUACCAAUCGAUGGUAUUGAGUAAUUGCAGGUGGUGGUAAGAAUUUAUGUUGUAUUUUGGCUCCAAUGCCACAGUUGUCAUCAUGUGUCGAUUUUGUUGGUUUCGUCGAAAGAUAGUUGCUCAUCUCAGGUUAUGAAAAGCUUCAGUUUAGUCCGAUGAUGGGGAUUUUAACAUCUCGUAUCACAAAAAGUCGAUUGGGUGAGAAGAGAAUGAAGAAGGUAGGUGGGAUGGGGGGUUAUUUUGUAUGAUGUACUCAUUUUGUCGAGUGAGAGAAUUAGAGAAAUGAGCACAAGCGAAGGGUAUUUUCGUCAGUUACUUAUCUGUUCCAGUGAGUUCCACCUUCACGUGUGGGACUAAAGUUUAUAAAAUUAGUCCCAUCGAAUUUAGUUUUUGUUCCAUUGAGUCCAUGUUCUAUGUUUGCCAAACACCUUGUCAAAUGAUUUUGUUUUGUUCUGUCCAAUUCUGUCUUACGUGCCAAACUUUGCCUAAAUGUUUUGUAUGUUGUUUGUGUGAAGAGCCCGAUGGGACUGUACAUUCGCAUCGAAGAUAUUGGUUUAUGUUGUUUUGUAAUUCAAUUAUGUUAACUAUAUGGUUUUCAAACAAAUGGAUGUUACAUCAUGAUUAAAGUAAAAGGUUUUUAAAUUGUUAAUCUAUUUGUAAAUGAAAAAUAUCUUUUGUAAUUUAUGGACAUUACAAGUUGGUAUCAAAGCUUUAGUUUGAUGGAUUCGGGCACACCUAUAGUGUGUCUAAACUCAAACUGGGGAUUUGUAAAAAUCUUUUACAAAAAAAUGUUUUUAUGAAAAGGAUUUUUAUAAAGAAAAGGAUGUGAUGUGUAUAGUCAGCUGAAGCUCAGGAAUUAAGUAAUUUCCGAUAUACACAUAUGGUUGUGUAUUUUGUGUUAUGGAUUGAUAUGCAUGAUAGAUUUAAAGCUAAAGAUUUGUUCAGGAAUUACAUGCUAGAAUUGCUUGAUUUGUAUAAAUGUAUAGUACACCCACUUACGCAAUGUCAGAGCAGCCAUCAGAAUCAGUGGCCUGAAUCUGGAACGAUCUGGCAGCAAAACUUCAGUUACCGGAAAAUAAAACUCUCUCUGUCUCUCUCUCUCUCUCUCUCUCUCUCUCUCCCUCUCCAUCUCNNNNNNNNNNNNNNNNNNNUUCUUGUUUAUAAAGUUUUCCAAAAGUUUUACCCAAGUUUCUGUUAGCUGUUAUUUCGUUAAAUGCAUGCUUAUAUUUGUAUAGUUAUAUAAAUAAUGUUUAAAGGACUUAGGAAGGCUAGUUCGCCCUAUUUCCUUUUCCUCGUUGGGAUGUGGUCUGGUGGGUAUCGGUUAUCCGUACGAAGGUCGUUUAAAUAUUAGUUAUAUAUCAUGUAUACAUGUAUGGACAUAAAAGCUCUCUCUCUCUCUCUCUCAGCCAAUUCAUCGCCUUGAGCAGUACAGACAUCCUGCUAUUAUUCAUGUUUCUGGAACCCUAGUAACUAUUAUAGGAAUAGUUAGGAGACUCUAUCUCUCUCUCUCUCUCUCUCUCUCUCUCUCUCUCUCUCUCUCUCUCUCUCUCUCUCUCUCUCUCUCUCUCCAGAUGAACACCCAGACAAAAAUAAAUAAUCUAAGAUACAAUAACAUAUACAAAACCCAUAUAUCUUAUAUACAAGAGUACAAAGAUAAACCUUAUUCAACGUACACACACAAUAAUGAACCUAGAAAUGAUUUGACACAUAUGAGACCAAAAACAUACAUUUGUUGAAGAUCUUACAUACAAAACCUGAAAUCUUAUAUACAAGACCAAACAUACAAACAUGAUUCAACACAUAAAUCUCUUCAGAGCACUGCCUUCUCGUCGAAGCAAAAUCAUCUUUAAGCUAUAUGUUGUUUGGAGCAAUUAAAAAAAACAAGGGUUUCAAGAAAUUCUCGUCGUCUUAUCUUCCGACCAAGCCAUAUGUUCGUUUGCACUUCUGGAGAACCAACAUCUUUAAGUUGCCAGUAAAACUAAGGUUUUUUUUAGCCGCCGCUACUAGGGUUUUAGUGCCGCCACGAUGGAGAAUUGGUUUUGUUUGUCGUGAGAAGUUAUGUUAACGGCUCCGGUAAGUAUAAGAGAGAAAAAGUGUGACAACAUAUUUGAAACCAUUGUCGUCACUGAAGAUAUAUGUUCGUUGGUGGUUGGUUUACAAACGUUGAAUUGACGAUCAACGUGGACACAUCUAGUAACACAUCUAGUAACGGGGAAAGCUGGUGACGAUUUAGAGAACGCGAACUCAAAUGGUGUCGAUCUCCGGCCAAAAUGACGAUGUCGGCGAUGGUUGUUCAUGGAAAAGGAGAAGUGGAGAAGACGAUUGAAAUGUCAGAGAUGCAGGCUGGUUUGUGAAACAUGGGACGGGAUGAUGGGUCAUAUAUUUUUGUUCUUUUGUUAGUUAGGAAAUAAUUAAAUAACAAAAAGAAAACGAAAAAACAAAUAGAAGAUGGCAAACCGUUCUAAAAUGUUUUCGCCCAAAACUAUAGCAAAAUAAAAGUUUUUGAUCUAUGAUGUUAGUCAAAAAAAAUUUUACCAAAAUGUCAAUUUUCGGUUAAACACAAGUUUUGUCAAGAAUAAAUAAAGGAUCGACAACGCCAAAAAGAUUAAUUUGCAUAUCAUAUUAAAACACAAAAUACAAGAUAUAUGGGACCUUCGAAAUCUUAAAAGAAGGCUAAUAACUAAAUAAAUACAUUCUUAAGACUAAUUUCAACUAUUAACCCUAUAAAUAAAUAUUACCUUAAUUACUUAAACAUAUUUUCUGAAAAUAAUAAUAUGAGGAAUAAAUAAGAAUUUAUUGAAAGAAUUUGACAAAACCAAAUGUUAGCAUGUCGUAGAAUAUAUUCAAACACUUGAAGUCCCAAUAAGCUCUAUCAAUACUUCUUACAUAAUUCACCUCGAAAAUCAUUACGUUCGCAACUCCUCACCCAUAUAACAAAAAAAAAAAAAAACAAAUAACAAAAACCACAAUUCAAACCGAACAUUAUUAAACCGCUUGCAAAAUUUCAUCAAUUCACAUUGUUCAAAACCAUAAACAAAUCCCGACUUGUCAAUGGGCAUGCGUAUAAUACACCAAGUGUUAGAAACAAAACCCGAAAUCAUGGAGUGAAAAAAACACAAUAAUAAUAAUGAUGAUAAUAUAUUGAAGUUGAAGUUGUGUUCUUCAAUUUAACAAACCCAUGAAGCAGAUCUUUUCAUCUGAGGCUUCAUUUGUUUGUCUUCUUCAAGUGAUAUCAUACCUAAAUGAGAUGGAUCUUCAAGCAUCAUUUUGGCUACCAAAUAUCCGGCUAUUGACCAUGUUUGGUUUUUACGCGCUUGUUUUCCGAUAAAUCGGCCGAGUUUUCCAUCGUAAUAUUCCGGCCACUGGUCCAUUAGUAACCGACUUUCCGCUAAUUCUAUUGCACGUUUCGCUAUUUGGGGUCGCCCUGCUUUAAUGCACGCGGCCGUUAAAAGCCAUAUUAGAACUGCAAAAUACACAUGAAAUCGAUAUUGUCAGUAUAACAGUAUGUUUGGUUAACUAGCUGAAAAGCUGAGCUGGCUGAAAUAUGUAAAAUGACAUAAAAAAUACAACAUUGUCGCAUAAAUUGGUAAAAACAUGAAACAUUUUUUUCUCGGUAAGUGUUAGCGUAGAUAAAUGAUGUUUUAAACUCGUUAUGGUUUGGUCAAAAUUACACGUUUGGUCUCUAACUUUUUGCACUUGGAUCGUCCUUAUGGUUUGAUUUUGUUGCGUUUUCCGUCCUUUACAUAUAUAAAGUUAGGACCAAACUUGCAAUUUUGACCAACCAUAAGGAUGAAAAACGCAACAAAAAUCAAACCACAGGGACAAUAGGGACUAUCUAAGUGCAAAAAAAAAGUUAGGGACAAAAUGUACAAUUUUGACCAAACCAUAUAGACGAUUUCAAUAAUUUAUUCUUUUAACUUUAGUAGCAAAAAAUAAAGCAAACAACUUUUCAAAUUUUCUCAAUUUUUGUAACAAGGUGAUUUUCGAUACAAAAUAUGUAAAGAUGUCUUAAUUUAGUACCAAAAAAUUGCACAUGUUAAAACAAUGUUCCAUGAUUCUCACUAGUUACAUAAUUGGUAAAAAAAAAUAAUAAUAAUAACAAAAAUAAAAUAAAAACACUUUGUUGUAUAAAGGAUUUAUUUGUUCUUUAAGUCGCUCAUCUUUUAAUUUUAUUCAAUAGACCAAAAUUUCAACAGAAUAAUGAGAAAUGAGUUGGUUAUCCUUUUAUAACAUUAACCCAUUUGUAAAAAGGUGAAACAUUAGUAAUCUAGUUAAGCAACACAUAUCAAAAUAGUUAUCUAUCUCACAAAAAAGUGUGCAUAAAUAAUAUAAGGCCUAAUUCAUAUUUAUGCAAGAACAUUUCAUAUUUUUCCCAAUUUAUGACAUAAGAAGUUGAUUUUUUAUACAAAAUACACAAUUUAGGACCAAAAGAUGCAAGUAUUUUACCAAUAUGCCCUCUUAACCUAGUAGCUUGUUAAUUGUUUGAAUUGAUAAAAUGCACAUCAUUGUUGCAUAAACUGAUAAAAUUGUGAAACAUUUACAUAUUUCAUUUAAAAAAAACUUUUUUUUUUCAUAAAUCUACAAAAGACAAAAAAUUAUUGGAUAAAAAUACGUAUUUAACCAUUAUAAAAAAAAUUAAAAAAAUAAAAGAGCACAAACCUGGCCACGAUCCACCAUUAUGAUAACUCCAACUCGUAUUCUUCGGAUCACACCCGGUAACAAUCCUCCACUCAUGACUCUCCAUCGCCGGAUAACAAAUCUUCAACGGCAUCUCUCCGACGAGUUCCCCCCACCUCGACUCAAUCAAAUCCAUAAUCGCCGAACUCUGUUCAGGCGUCGCUAACGACGACAAAAUCGCCACACAAUUCCCCAAACAAAACCACCGGAAAUCCAUUUUCGCCGGACUUACAUUCCCAAUAAAGUAACCUCCACGUGUCGGCAUGAAAUCGAAGACCCAUUCGGGAAGCGAAUCGGGGAUUACGUUGAAUUUGUUGACUGCGGUGUGAGAGUACUCUUCGGUUUUGUAGCGAUAGAUGUCGUUGAGUUGUUUGAUGUCGAGCCAAAAGUAACUUCGCAUGUGGAAGGAGAGCGCGUGGAGGCGUUUGACUAUUCGGUCAAUGCAGUCGUUGCCUUCGCAAUCGCGUUUUAGGAGAAGUAAGGCGCAUCUUAGCGCCAUGAAGAAUAGUGCUUGGAUCUCGAUUGGAUACCCGUAUACACCCUACAAAUCAGCAAAGAUUGUUGAAAUUACGGAUUUGCCCAUCAACGUUAGAUCAAGAUCUGAAAGAUGUCUAUCGCUAAAAGGGUAUUUUGUCAUUUACAUGUGAACACAGAAGGAAGGAUCAUACAGAGCAAAAGCAUGAAAGUUGUAAUUUUGAGUAAACGAGCAGAGACUGUAAAAUUACGUAUUUGCCCUUCAAUGUUGGACAAAGAUGUACAAGAUUCUACCUAAUUGUAAGGGUAUUUUUGUCAUUUGCAUGUGAGUCGAAAUACAGAAGAGAGCAAAAACAGGAAAGUUGUAAUUUUGAAUAAACAUGCGGAGACGAUAAAAUUAAGUAUUUACACUUUAACGUUAGAUUGGGAUGUACAAGAUUCUAUAAAAUUGUCUAUGGUUGAAGGGUAUUUUGGUCAUUUGCAUGCGAAGUGAAAAGGGGUUUCAAUUGAAUGGAAGGAGCAUACAAAACAAAAGGAUGAAACCACAUACAAGAAACAUGCAUCGCACUUAAACUAAUUUGUUUAUAAUCUUUUUAUUUCUUCCUAUUAGAAAAUCAUACCUUGGAAAAUCAAGACAAUAACUCAAAAUUGCUUUGAAUUCGGAUAUGACGUUGCAAAAGGGUUAAAUGUAACGAUUUGUUAAUUAUAGAAUUCUACAAAACUAUUUUUUACUCCUAGAAAUUGGGUAUAUUUUUCAAAGCAUAAUGUCUUAAACAAGAAAAACAAAAAAUUCAAAGUACAAUACCACAAUAAAAAUAAUAAUAAAAUAAAGAUACAAAUCCUAUAAAAAACAACUAUUUUGGACCAGUUUACGGCUAAUCCCAACUUUUAAUUUUUGAACAGAAAAGCCUAAUGAUUUUAUAUUUUUUGCCCAAAUAAACAAAACAGUCAAUUUUUCGUUAACAAAAAAUAACAGAUUAUCGUACAAAAUUAGAUAAUCACAACUUUUCUGUUUAAAAAGUAAAAAAUUUGGAUUAAACCAUAAACUGGUCCAAAAUAUUAUGACUUUAUCGAAGAUUUCCCAAACAAUUAAACCAAAAUAUGUUACUAUUUCUUGAUAAAAGUAGAGAUAUAUCAAAUACUAACCAUUCUUCGAUCAAUCAUACAACAUCCAUCCGCACAUAGCAAAGUAGGAAACGUAUCAAACCCUUCGGAAAGACACAAAGUCAUAAUAAGUCUAAUCCCCCUUUGGAUUUCAGGCAUUUCGGCUAAAGACGAGUCACCCGUGGAUUUCGUAUACGCACGAAGCAGUAUAAUCCACCAAAACCCUGAGUCAACUGGGGCCACACGCCCAAUCGCGCUUUCACCAUAAUCCGCUAAAAUUGUUUCCGUGUUUCUCACGGGGUCAUGAAGCACUUUAAAACUUGCGGGCAUUACCCCUUCGCCUAAUUUGAAAUUGUCGACCUUUUUUUCGCGUGAUUGGAGGAAAACGGUUUUUAGGAGGAAGUUUUUUACGAUUUCGGGUUCUCCGUUCAUUAAAAAGGCUAACGCACUUGGCACAAAGUCUCUUACAAAAACCUAUAAAAGGAGGAAUAAAUGUCAAAAGUAGAAUUUAGUUUUGAAUGCAAGAAAUAGCAACGUAUUUUCUUUAAUUUGUUUAUUAUAGCGCAUUUUUUUUCGUCCCGUUACAAUGUUAUAUUUUCGAAAGAAAAAAUAAGUAAAUAAAUGAAAUCCGAAUACAAAGAAUUUAGGGUUAAUCUCAUAAAAGAUUUUAUAUAUUGUGUAUUUUUUUCUCGGGAUUAAACCUCAACUUUUUUUUUUUCCGGAAAAAACCUUGUGUUUUUAGUUUUUUUCAAAAAAAACCCUUAACUUUGGAUUUUUUUCCGAAAAAACACUCCACUUUCAAACUAUUUCCGAACAAACCCUCACUUUUUUUUUUGUUUUUUCCAGAAAAAAACCCUCACAUUUUACAAGUUUUUUCGGAAAAAAAUGACUAAAAGAGCCAGAUUGAAAAAAAAAUGAAAAAAUGUAAAGUCUUUUUCAGGAAAAAAAUAAAGUUGAGGUUUAAUCGAAAAAACACACACACACACACACAAAACAUAAAAUCUUUUAUGAGAUUAAAAUUGUUAUAAUCGGAUAGAUUUUUUUGAAGUAUAACGUAUUAAUAUAAAAAUAUAGAAAGUAUAAUGCUUUAAUAAAUUUUAAUAGAGGGUAGAAUCUAGGGUUAAAUGAAAGAAAUACCAAUGCACUUUCUUUAAUUUAUUUAUUAUACCAUUUUUUCACAUCUUCCAUCCAAAGGCAAAGAAAUUAUUAUUGUUAUAAUCAGGUAGAUUUUUUAUGUAUAAUGUAUUAAUAAAAAAAUAUUAAAAGUACAAUGCUUUAAUAAAAAGAACUGAAGGGUACAAUUUGUAAUAGAAAUAAAGUAUAAUAAUAGCACUAUAGUAGUGAAUAUUGCUUUUUAUAAUAGUGUAAUAGGAAGAAGAAUUAUUUUCAAAGUUCAGUGGUUUAAUAAGAAAAAGUAACGAAAAAAUAGAAUGGUUUAAUAGAAAUAAAUGUAAGUAUGAUGCUAUAAAACACAAAUAAUUAAAAGGAAAAUUGCUUUUUUUGUAUUUAAAUAAAAUUACAUCGACAUUUCUUGCAUUUUACAAAAAUUUCAUAUAAAUACAUAUAGAAAUUGGGUAGCUAUAUACAAAAAUAAAUGGAAAUACGUAGCAAUUUCUUGCAUUUAAUACAAAUUUUAUAACCAAGGAUCAUGAAGGACUCGAUUGAUAUGAAGAUUCAAAUCUCUAAACAUCAUAAAUCAAAAGUCAACUUGAACAAAUCACAAUCCGUUAAUCAAAAUCAACUUCAUAAGAAAAAAGGAAUUGAAAUUCACCUGAUCAUAAUUAAGGUCCUCUGAAGAAUUAUCAAGAGCAGCAAUAGUCCCAACAGGUUGACCACGAAAGUUGACCAAUGAUCUUCUCAAAGCCUCCCAAGCAUCUCCAACAAUCGGAUGAGGCUCAAAAUACCCACUCCGAGGAGUUCCAGUCCAUCUCCCCGGAGAAUAAACGCCGUCGAGAUUAUCAAACCCCCGUGAUGAAUUAUCGCUCAUUUUGUAGAAAUUAUUACGUGGUGGCGACAUCGUAAUCGACAUUUCACUAAAUGAUCUUUCAUCGAACGAUCUUUUUCUCUCGAUGUUUACUGGUCGCGGUUUUUCUAGAAGCCUCGUUAGAUCGGAGUCAUCGAUUUCGAAUAAAGAAGGUGUUGUUUGUUCUUCCUCUUUUGCUUUUACAGACCCGUUUGACGUCCCUUCUAUCGUUGUCGGAGCCAUUGUUUGAUUAAUUUUUGAAGAAACUUCGAAAUUCUGAUCUGGUCAAUAAAGUCAAACGAUAAAUUUUUUGAAUUCAGAUCUGGUCAAACGUUUUCAACCGAAGGUAAACAAACUUCAAUCAGAUCAUUACAUGUUCAUCUUAAUUCCACAUUUUUCGAAUGAAUCAAAGAAUAAGAAGAAAUCGACUGAAUCGAAAUACGAGUUAUGUUCUUAGUUGUUUUCAGAGUUUUAUUAAGGGCCUAGCAAAAUCCAGAAGUAAUAUCGUGAAUUAACUAACAUGUCUAAUGUCAAAACCCUAAAAAUCGAAUCAUGAACUGGAAGAAAAGCAAAGAUUGAAGCUAAUUCAUAUCGUAAAUCAUUGGAAUGGGGAAGAGAGAAAGAAGAAUCAAACCUGGGGAACUUGGUAGAUGAGGAAAUCGAUGAAACCUAGAAAAGAGGCGUUGAAGGCAUCAUCAAACUUAAACAAAGAGGGAUCAAAAGAGUAUACUUUAUUCAAAAUGAAAGAAGGUGACCCCCUACUGAACAGGCCUACAUAUAUAGGUGACAAAACGGUGGAGUUUCAAAAAUAGACCUUAUACUUUAGCAAGUUUUGCAAAUUCAGUCCUCCGUUAGUUUCCUUUUUCAUUUGGGUUAACGGAUAUCCACAUUUGUAUAUGGUAUUUUGGAUACUAUCAUGACCAAGUUUAGACUUUAAAAAAGGUUCAUUGACAUUUAUAUGACUUUUGUUAGUUGUCAUAUUUUUACAAUUGUAAAUAAAUAUGAUAAACUUUAAUCAACAAAUUAUAUAAAAAAAAGAUGGUUAGCAUUUUAUAUAAUUAUCUUAUUUAACUUUUUAUAAACGUUGUAAACGGGUUUCCUCAACAAAAUAUGCAACAAACUAUAUAAUUUGGUUUCUUGAUAAUAGUUUUUAUAAAAAAUUAACUAUAAAAGAUUUCAUAUAAAUAAUUACACGAUCGUUAACUUUAUUUUUAAAAUCAGAGAAAACUCCAUUGAUCAGAGACAAUCGCUAGUAGGGAUAAUAUUCGAACAAUAAACAAGGUAUUAUUGAUAUUUACAAAACAAACAAAGUUCAAUAGUAGAAAACAAAUAUUAUUCCCUCCAAAAUUAGAACAAAUUCUUGAUAAUGGGUAUGGCAUUAUACUAGAAGUGUAUCCAAAAUUGUCCACUUUUAGCCCAAAAAGUAUAUAUAUAAUCUUUUAACUAGUCAAGUUGUUAUUUUACAUAUAACUCUUUAACUAUACUAGUCAAAGACUUAUCACAUGAGCAUAUGAGUAGUGCUUUGGUUUUUGCCGUUAUAAUAAUAAGGAAUAUUCAAUCAAACAAGACAUAAGAGGGCCAGUUUUGCAAAACCAGGUAAAGUACAAGGUCCUUUUGGUGAAUACUGGACGACUGUUUGUUACAGCUUAAAAUGUGUGUGAAGUUUUAACGAACCCAAGCAACCGGACAAACCGGAUAAGUUAGAGUAAUACAGAUAAAGUUUACCGACACGUGGAAUUAUCUUGGAAGAUCCGACGAAAUUUUUUGGAGAAAUCUACGGUCAACUUGUCCGGUUGUAAUCUGGAGUAUCCGGUACGGAUUUGGCAGAUUCUUUCUAUUUUAUCACAAAAAAGGAAAAAGGAUGAUAAAAAAGAAAGUUACCUUUUUUCCAUAAAUUUGGUAAAUCUUUUAUUCACUUGUAUAUCCACAAAAAUUACGAAAUGGGAAAUGACGUAUUGGGUCAAAAUAAAUAAAGAAAAUAUGAGAAAUGUUUAGAUGAGAUCAAGCGUUAUAUUUUAUAAUAAAUAACGUAGUAGUAUUAAACAAUAAUUUAAAAGAUUGUAGAGAUAUUAGUAUGUUUUACGGGUUUUAAACGGUUCGAUCAUUUUUAUUUAGUUUAGUUUGUAUUGAAACUGGUUUGUGUAUAAUAUUUUUCUCUAUAUAUAGUAGUUUAUCCUUUAAAAUUUUAUAUUAUAUAUAAUCAUGUAAAAUCUAAAUGCUUGUGUAUGCUUUUCCAUUUUUGUAUAAGAUGUUGUCUUCUUUGUUUAUUAAAUUAUAACUUUCAACUCAGAUAUAAGGGUAAAUUACAUGAAUGGUCCAUGUCUCUAACAACGUAAAUUUUCAAAACAAUUUUUCAUUUUUCAAAUAAAAUAAAACUCAUUCAAUAUUUUCAAAUUUCAAGUUUAACAAAUGUCAUCAUGAUAAAAACAUAUCCCAAAAUCAUAAAAUAAAUCUUCUGCCAGUGUGUACGGAUCAUGCCGGCGCUUUCCCGCGAUCAUCGCUAGUACCUGAAACACAUAACACAUAACACUGUAAGCAUAAAUGCUUAUUGAGUUCCCCAAAAUACCACAUACAACACAUACGCCACUCAAGGCCAUAACUCUAUGGGAUCUUCCAAUCCAUGUGUCUCAGGGGACUUCCGUCCCAACUCUAGUAGACCUUCCGGCCCUACCUGUAUGACCUUCCGGUCCAUACAUUGUUGACCUUCCGGUCCAUAUCAUGGUACUCAUAACAUAGCAUAACACAUACAUAUCAGAUAGCAACAUAUAUCACAUACUUCGCAUAACAUAUAAGACCUUCCGGUCACACAUAGUUACCACUCUAGGUAAAGUAUAAUGAGAAGACUCACCUCAUAUACUGUCUAGUAACUCACGUGCUCGGUAUCCCUGAACCUCGUAACAAUGACCUAGCCCCGCCUAAACACAUAGCAAUCAUCUCAAAUCAAUAACGGCUCUCCAGGCUAGACUAGUCCGUUCCAAUGUUCUCUUAGAAGGCUAAAAGACCAUUUUACCCUUCUAAUGGUCCAAAAGUCCAAGUGUUGACCCAACCCUAAAAGUCAACGAAAGUCAACAGUCAAACUUUGACCAGACUCGUCGAGUGCACAUAGGUGACUCGGCGAGUCCAAGCGUGUCCUCUGGAUCUUUCUAAACCUCACUCGACUUGUCGAGUGAACCUUCCACUCGACGGGCUACUACUGGUCAAGAGUCGCGAGGCAACCCGACUCGACUCGUCGAGUCCCCUUAUGGACUCGGUGAGUUUCUUCCAUGACAAUCACCCAAACGACCUUCUAAGGUCAGAUCUGCUUCUCUAACCUAUAGAUCUGACUUCCCCAUGUCCAAUAAUCACGUAAAGGUGAAAUCUUGACACUCAUGCAACGCACUCAAGGCUUCUUUUGGUGAAAUGGCUUCUAAAAUGGCAUCCUAGGUUCAUUUCCUCCAUGGAACAACAUAAAGCGGGAUAGAUAAUGCUCUCUAUACCUCUAAAGGUCCAGAUCCAGAGUCUAACACUCAAAGGGACAACAUAUGCAUCAAUUCAAACCAAUAAAGGGGUAGAGAAAACCCUAACUUCAAGGAUCUUGUACAAAACAGAAGAAGGGAUCGAUUUACUACCUCAACAAUGAAGACCCAAGCUUGAAAACCACAGAAUCGCAAUCCCCUUGACCUUCUCUUGCUGGAAACACCUUCUUCUUUGCAAAGCCACAACAAAAAGGAUCAAAAUAGCUCUCUCUCUCUCUCUCUCUCUCUCUCUCACAACUCGCUCAAGCUCUCUAGGAUUUCUCUCUCUGGACUGGUAGCCGCAAAUGAGGGUUAUAAGGUCCCUUAAAUAGAGCACAGGCCCGGAUAUUUAGGAUUUAUGACCUCAGCGCGGACUCGUCGAGUCCACCCAUUGACUCGUCGAGCCGUUCAUUAAUCCAGUCAGCAAAUCGCGAUCCUACUCGAUGAGUCUAAGCAUCAACUCGUCGAGUCCCUCCUCAUAACUCAAAAUAAACAAUUAAAAUAUGAUACCUGGAAAUCCGGAUGUUACAAUGUGGUUUAGGGUAAUAUCUAAUAGGAUAAGUGUUUGGUUUCUUACAAAUUUUUUGUAACUCGAACCAUCGCUAUAAUUUGCCUUUUAUGUGUUUGGUCCCUCACAAGCAUAAAAAGACUAUAUUGUCCUCGUGUUUUUUUUUGAAUUUAUUUUAUUGUUUAUUUGUUAUUGAAGACAAAAUUAUAUGAAUUGGUCCCACUAAUUGCCAUCUCUUGCUCACAGCCUCACCCUCAACUUCUAACCCCUUUUCAUCUUUAACUUCAAUUUCGACGAACCAACACAAAACUCACCACCUUCUCUUGACUUUUGUACAACCACCACCCAACCUCUCACAACCCUUGUAGGAAUGAUCCUGUAAUGCAAAAAUGUAGAAACAGACCAAUUGCAAAACCAUAAUCUGAUAUACAAAUGCAAAACAAAACCUAAAACCCAAAUAAAGGUCAAAAUCGAUCGAUUUUUGAAAAUAAUAAUAAUAAUAAUAAUAAUUUUGAUCGAUUUUUGAAAAUGAAAACCAAAAUCACAAAACCCGAUCAUACUUAAGAGAACUAAAAUCAAUCUAUUUAUCUACAAGUAAUCAAUCUAUUUAUCUACAAGUUUUGGAUUCUGAAAUAGGACAUUCUUCACUCCCGUCGGCUCCCUAUCGUGAUGCUCAAAUGAGGUUCAAACCUGCAAUAAGUAAAAUGGAUCACAUAAGAACUGUUUUUUGGUAUAUCUGGUGUUUGUUAUGGUCGACUCCCCAUUGUGAUGCUCUGGCGAACGCAUGUACCAGCACCUGUCAUCAAUGAGAUUCUCGUCAAUAAGCUGAUUGUUUAGAGUUCUAUGGAGUUCUCGAAGAUGGAGAGGAGGGGGACAAGGGUCGCCGAUGAAAGAUAAGGUCGUCUAAGAGGGUGGGUCGUUGACGAGGGUAAGGUCGUCGAUGUUGGAGGGAUAUAGCUUCUUUAGUUAUAGUUUUAGGUAAUUUAGGUUACACGGAAAAGGCAUUGAGAGAUUUAAUAGAAAACGUUAGUUUAGGGUGGGCCGAUAGGUGGGUGAAUUAAUUUGUUUUACUUUUUUUUUAACAUAAAAUAAAAUAUACUGAUAAAAAAAUAAUAUAUAUANNNNNNNNNNNNNNNNNNNNNNNNNNNNNNNNNNNNNNNNNNNNNNNNNNNAAUGGUAAAAUGGGUUUUUUUUUAAGCGGUGACUAAACGCACAACAAAAAUAAAUUAUAUCAACGGUCCGAAUUAUAAAAAAAUUAUAAAGGACAAAACAUAAAGAUUGCCCUACAAUAUAUAAGUUCGUAAAAUUUACUGUAGAUAUAAAACUCAAUAACCUUAUUCUCUUAAAAUGGUAAAAUAUAUCUUUAGAGGCUCAUAUAUUGUUUCCUUUGUUUUAGUAAUUAUUUUACAAAUAGUAUGAGACACGAUACUUUGUAUUCACACUUUUCACGCCAACCAAUAUUUUGGUGUAAACAAUUAAACGUUUAUAUUGGGUUAUAUGUAAAAUUAAAUAUUAUAUUGUUGCACGUAAGUACAAAACGUCUCGACUCCAAUUGAAUAUCCAAAAUAGAGAAAGCUUCUAGAUUUUUUUUAUUACCACUAUCUUCUAGUGACUAUUAAUAAAAUAAAUAACUAAAUUCCAAAUAGAAUAUGAAUAACUUUAUUUUUAUGAUGGUUCAAAUAAGCAUUAUAUUUUUCAUUUGGAAAAGAUGGAGUAUUAUUUUGUUUAUUAUUUGGUGUCACAUCCAUGUCAAUAUUAGAUUAUGUGACAUUUGGUUUUAGGACUUAAAGAACUUUAAAAUAAAAAUAAAACUUUUUAUCAAAGAUACAGGUGAAAAUAUUGUGCACAAUUGAGUAUGUCAAGGAUGGCAUAGAUCUUGUGUGAAGAGUAAAAGACUCAACAAACUAACCCAAAUGGUUCAAGAAAAUUUCCAAUGAAACAACAACUAGCUUCUCUGUUAGGGUUGUUUGAUUUCAAUCUAGCUGAUCUAGUUAGAGUUUUUUUCUUUGAUUUGGUCAGGUUGGUUUGUUUGAUUUGCACAUUUAAUGAUUUGACAUUGUUCUUACCGAUACAAUAAAAAAAUUAGUUGACUGAGAACCUUCACAUUUUUACCCCUUGCGGCGAUCUCCUUCGGCUUUGAACUAGCAACAUUAUAGUCAAAUCCUCAUCAUCUCAACGACAACAAUCCUUAAUCCAUGUGACACCGCUGCCAUCAUCCAGCCUCGUUGUCGUCAUCACUUUCAUCCUCCAUCGUCGUCACUAAUUGAUAUGUAGUAUUAAAAAUUGAUAUUGUAACUAUUGUUUUACGUGUUUUGGAUAAUCAAAAGAUCUUGGUGAAGGUCAAAUUCGAUCGUUCAGGUGAUAUCAAAAGGAUUUACGGUUGAACUUGAAUUCAUUUAGCUUAAAACUAAAAAUCAUAUUGUUUUUCCUUUAUAAAUGAGACUUCAUAGUUCCUUUAGCAUCAUUGGUUCUAACCAUUUGUUUGCAACAACUUACCUAUCAAACCAUCUAUGCUAAUCGAUUUGUUUAAUUGUUAGCUUUUAGAUCAUAUGUUGUAUACAUGCAUCUUUAACUGAUGCAUAAUAUGUCGGGAUUUUCGGUUACAUAAAUGUUGAACGUGUUACUCUACUUGAGGAUGCUGUAAGUUAUCAUCAUAUAUUUGACAAAUAAAACUAUUGCAAUUUUAAUAUUGAUAUAUGAAACAAAUGUUUUGAUUUUAGGAUUAUUGCAUAACUUUAAGCCAAUAUGAAGAUGGAAUAGUGCUUCAUUCUGUAACGCCUGUGUUUCGGGCUUGCCAUUUGUAGCAAUGUAAUAGUCUAGGUUAACCUUUGUAACCCGUUUUGAAAUAAUAAAAGUGUAUUAUUUGAGUAUUAUGUGUUUUGUGCUUAAUUGCUUAAUUAUGUGGUUUGAUUAAUUAAGAAUAAAAAUAAGCGUCAAAAUUUAAGUGUAAAAUAAACUUAAUAUCUUUGGUUAAUGUUGUAGUAAUUGAAACGAGGUUUUCGAAUAUAUAUAGAACGCCCAAAUCUGACUUCGUAUGAGGAAGUUAUGAUUUAUCGAAGUUCCGGCUUAGCGAUAUACAGCAUGUUUUACUCGAUUUGAGAUCGAGCGGUUGUUAGCCGAAGCAAUCUAAAUGAGAAUCAAAGAUCUCAUUGUUGGUAUUGAAACGAUAAAAAGUUAGGCGAGAACGGACGUCAAACGAAGAAGUUAUGAAUUUAUAACGAAAGUUUCUGUCCCGGCCUAUUAAAAAUAAUUAAUAAAAAUAAAGUCAAAAUUAGCCGACGGAGUCUAAACGAAAGUCGUAGAGCGUAGUCUCACCUUCGCGUGGAUAUAAAGAACGUCGAAAACGGAGUUCGUAUGAAGAAGUUAUGAAUUUCCGAAGUUUAUUAAUCAUUUUGUAUUUAUAUUUAAAUCAAAAUUCGGAAGCAUUAUCCGAAGGAGUCACCGAUCUGAUCCGAGGUACGCCCCGCGUACUCCGAGGGAUGUCGACACUCGCACUCGAGCACUUCGGAUACGUAAGCAAUGACGUUUUGGGCAGUACGCCCCGCGUAACGCAGUACGCCCCGCGUACUCCGAGGCUCCAGCCUCCUAUAAAUAGGAUGCGAGGGUUCCGGGUAUUUUUGCCAAUUCCCUCUCGUUUUCGUGUCGAAGCUCUGUGCAAAAACCCCCGAAGCUACCCCGAAGUCCCGGUAUCAUACUCUAGCCCCGAGGCAAGUCCCGAGAUCCCGAAGAUCCCGAAAAGUGCGGUUCCCGAGUCGAAGCUCUGCCCGCGAGAAGUUCGAUUUUCGAGAAGAUCUUCCAGAUCUGCUGUGGAUUACUACUUCUAUAAGCCGUAGUGCUGUCCGAUCAUCUUCUGAUCAAGUGAGUGUGUAGUUAUUUCUUCUAAUACAAUAAUACGAAGUAUUUUAUAUAAAAAUACGUGCUAUGUGUAUAUAUUUGGUUGUGUUAUGUGUGAAUGAGUAUUCACUCUCUUCUAUCUUAUAGAUCUGCUUAUUUCUUUAUGAGAUAUGUGUUAUGUGUGUGUGUGCCUCAUCUGUUAUGUGAUAUAUGUGUUGAUUAAAGCAUGCUAUACAGGUUUUCUUUAAACUAUGUAUACAAAUGUAUAUUUUUAUCUACUAAUAUGUUGGGUAGAACAUGGGUAGACAGUUGGUGUGUAAUAAACAGAUGAGAGGCCUCGUUGUUGUUUGAUUGAGUCAUCUAGCGGAGUUUAGAUGACGACCACUGGCUAUUCUAGACAGUCUUGUGGAAACAUUAGCAGGUUCGCCACCUGUAGGUGUUAAUGAACUUGGGUGUUCAUUCGCUGUACUCCAUCCCCCUCAUGGUUGCCUUAUUUGACUUAUAUUGCUGAGGUACCCCCGAAGCAUGUGUUGUCGCCCCGAUGAAAUAUUCUUAGACUAGGUCCCUUAUGUUAGUUGUUUUAGGGACAUUAAAGUGAGAAUAACGGGAAUGGGUAAUUGGGUUAUUGUUGGUUGGUGAAAAUUAAAUAUGAUAUUUAUUGUGGGUUGAAAACCCUAUAUGCUCACCAGGCUCCCAAGCCUGACCCACUCAGUUUUAAAUUGUAUUACAGGUAGUGGCGGAAGGGCAUGAGAUGGAUGAACCAUCAAGUUGUUUUGUUUACAAGUCUGCAUAUGUUUAUAUUUGUUAUAUGACUUGUAAUGUAUUCGUUUAUGCUUAUUGGUCUGUAUCGGAACAUGACACCCCGAGUUUUGAUUAUAAUGAAAAUACAUUUCUUUUAUGAAAUGCUUCGGUAAACAAUGUUUUAUCAUGUUUUGUUUUUGGGAACAAAUUCCGCAACUCUUUCAAAUCAAAAGGAUUUACUCUGAAAAUAUUUAAAAGCAUAAAUGAAAAUCGGUCUUUUCUGGCCGAGAUUUUGGGGAUGUCACAGUUGGUAUCAGAGCAUUAGUUUAAGCGAACUAGGAAUUUGUAGGAUUUCUAGACUUAAACUUAGAAUGCUAAGUGAAGUUUUGAGAUGUGUGUCUGUUGUGAUUUAGACACGAGCACUAGUUUAUUUUAGGAAAGUUGCCUAAAAUGCUUUAUGUGCUAAAUGUUAUAUGUUGCCAUAUAUGAUAUUAUUUGUUCGGAUCUAUGGUCUGUUGCCGACCGGAUCUAGAAACCUUAUGUGUGUAGGAUUCUAAGCGUACGUCUACGAUAUUAGAACUAGCAUGUAAACGUUUCGGAGUGAUAAGGAUGAUUUGAAUAUCUAUCAUGAUUGAGGAUCUAAUUUCACCUUAUUCGGUGUAGAUCAAAAUGGUGAGAACAAGAAGUGGAGUUGGAAAUGCUGACGAAAACAGGAAUCAACCACCAGUGAUUGAGCCAAUACCUGUCGUAGCAGCAGCACCUGAGCCAAUAACCAUGGCUGGUGUGCAAUUGAUGAUUCAGACGAUGUUGGAUCGUCAGAUGGAUGAAACUAGACGGUUGCUUCAACAAAAUCGUGAAGAACUGUCGAUUCGUGUGGAAGAGCCUGAACUGAAUGAAGGGCACUCGGAAGGUGGAAACUUCAGUGGGUCUGUUGGUCCAGCCAACCCACCGAUAGUUAGGCAAGAUAACCAUGAUGGAAGGAAUGAUGGAAUGGGAUGCAAGUACAAGGACUUUUUGACUUGUAAACCAUCGACCUUCAAUGGAAAGGAGGAUCCGAUUGGGGUUAUGGAUUGGAUCUCCGAAAUGGAGUUAGCCUUUAUGACAUGUGGCUGUAGAGGCAAGUUGCAGACUAUCUAUGCCGUGCGACAAUUCCGAGGUGGAGCCGUUCGUUGGUGGAACACUCUAGGGAAGACCUUAAGCCCUAAUGAGCCACUGCAAUUGUCAUGGGCAGAGUUCUUGGUGCAGUUCAAGCGCAAGUUCUGCUCGGCUCAAAAUCUGUUGGAGUUGGAGAACAAGUUUUUGACAUUGACGAAGGGUAGCAUGUCAGUGGAUGAGUACACCAAUAACUUCACCGAUAAGAUGGAGUUUGCCUUGCGUAUCGUUCCAGACGAGCUGACAAAGGUGGAUCGGUAUGCGAAGGGACUUCCAUGGGAGUACGAGGUGCCGGUACGUCAGGCACUUACUCUAGAGGCAGCUAUCUGGGCUGCCAAGUCUGUGGAGAACAUGAUCAAGGGGAGAACCACCGUCAAGGUUGAGGUUGGUGAGAAAAGGAAGUUUGAAGGAACAUCUGGUUCCAGUAAGAAGAGCAAAUUUUCGAAAUCUGAUUCGAAAAAGUUUGGAGGAAAAGGAGGCGAAGCAAAGUGGUGUGAUAAGUGUAAGAAAAAGCACUUUGGGAAAUGUAGCGAGGAUGUGACCUGCUACAAGUGUGGAAAGGUUGGACAUUUUGCCAAUGAAUGUCCGAACAACAAAAGGAUGUGUUUUGGGUGUAAUGAAGAGGGGCAUAUUUUGAAAGACUGUCCGAAGAAGAAGGAGGCAGCUAGGCCCAACAUUCCACCAAAGCCGAAGGCGAGAGCCUUCCAGAUGACACUUGAGGCUGCGAAAGAUGAAGCUGAUGUCGCUUCAGGUACCUUUCUCGUAAACGAAUUACCUGCUCAUAUAUUGUUUGAUUCUGGAGCCAACUACUCCUUUAUUUCGCAUGAGUUUGGUAGAAAGCUAGCUUUGCCUGUUGAUAGACUAGAUAAUGCUUUAUUAGUCGAAGUAGCUAGUGGCAAGUUUGUACCUGUUAGCCAUCGUAUGAAAAACGUCUUGAUCGACCUUAAUGGGAAUAAGUUUCUCGAGGAAUUAUUGCCUAUCGAACUAAAUGGUUUCGACAUCGUCUUGGGAAUGGAUUGGCUUAGCGCCAAUGAUGCCGAAAUUUUGUGCAAGAAGAAGAUAGUUAAAGUAAACCCGCCUGGGAAAGAUUCGUUUAUGGUGUAUGGGGACAAACGCAGAGUGAAUUCUGGAAUCAUUUCUCUAAUGAAAGCCAGAAAGUGUUUGACCAAGGGAUGUACAUCAUAUUUAGCAUUCGUGAUUGAUGCUAAGAAAGAAAAGAAGGUGAUGCAGAGCAUUCCAGUGGUGUGUGAUUAUCCGGAAGUAUUUCCCGAGGAUCUUCCUGGAUUACCACCUGAUAGACAAGUGGAGUUCAGAAUAGACUUGUUACCAGGAACCACGCCAAUAGCAAAAGCACCUUAUCGAUUAGCACCGACGGAGAUGAAGGAGCUGAUGAUGCAACUUCAGGAGUUAUUGGACAAAGGUUUCAUUAGACCUAGUUCAUCGCCCUGGGGAGCUCCGGUGUUAUUUGUAAAGAAGAAAGAUGGAAGUAUGAGAAUGUGCAUCGAUUACAGAGAGCUGAACAAGGCAACAAUAAAGAAUAGAUAUCCGUUGCCGAGGAUUGAUGACCUGUUUGAUCAAUUGCAAGGUUCGAGCUAUUUCUCGAAGAUCGAUCUUAGGUCAGGAUAUCAUCAGCUGAAAGUAAGAGAGCAAGAUAUCGAGAAGACUGCAUUCAGAACUAGAUAUGGACACUACGAGUUCUUGGUUAUGUCGUUUGGACUAACCAAUGCUCCAGCAGCGUUCAUGGAUUUGAUGAAUAGGGUUUGUAAUCCUUUCCUUGAUAAAUCCGUGAUAGUGUUCAUAGACGACAUUCUGAUCUACUCGAAAAGCCAGGAGGAGCAUGGCAGACACUUGCGAGAAGUGUUAGAAGUUUUGAAGAAGGAGAAGCUUUAUGCGAAGUUCUCCAAAUGUGAUUUUUGGAUUCGUGAGGUCCAAUUCUUGGGUCACGUGGUCAACCAAGAAGGGAUAAUGGUUGAUCCAGCGAAGAUCGAAGCUGUGACGAAGUGGGAACAACCGAAAAGUCCCACGGAGAUUCGAAGCUUUUUAGGAUUAGCCGGAUAUUACCGAAGGUUUAUCCAAGGCUUUUCUUCGAUUGCUACUCCAUUAACAGCUUUGACCCACAAAGGAGCUACUUAUGCUUGGAGUGAGAAGCAUAAAGAAGCAUUCGAGAAGUUAAAGAAGAAGCUAUGCGAGGCACCGAUACUUUCUCUACCCGAUGGAGUUGAAGACUUCGCUGUUUAUAGCGAUGCGUCUGGUGUUGGAUUGGGUUGUGUUUUGACCCAAAGAGAAAAGGUGAUAGCAUAUGCGUCUCGACAGCUGAAAGAGCAUGAAAAGAAUUACCCGACUCAUGAUUUGGAGUUGGCAGCGGUAGUUUUCGCUCUGAAAAUAUGGAGGCAUUACCUCUAUGGCACGAAGUGCAAACUUUUCACUGAUCAUAAGAGUCUCCAAUACCUCUUUAAUCAGAAAGAAUUGAAUAUGAGGCAACGACGCUGGCUAGAAUUACUUAAAGACUACGACUGCGAGAUACUUUACCACCCCGGUAAAGCUAAUGUUGUUGCUGAUGCUCUCAGUCGGAAAGUCAAUCUUGAAAGGAAGAGGCCAAGAGCGUUGAGAAUUGAAGUUGUCUCGACUAUUGUGGAAAGUAUAAAGAAAGCUCAAGAGGAAGCUUCUGAGAAAAAUGACCGAAAGGAGGAACGUUUGGGUAAAACGUUGGUGUUUGGUACUAACGGUCAUGGACUGAAGGUAUUCCAAGAUCGUAUUUGGGUACCUAAGUCAGGAGGAAUUAGGGAUCUUCUGAUGGAAGAAGCUCACAAAACCAUGUACUCAAUUCAUCCGGGUAGCACUAAAAUGUAUAGGGACCUGAAACCCUACUACUGGUGGCCGACGAUGAAGCUUGAUGUUGCAAAGUAUGUGGCCGAGUGUGUGACUUGUGCGAGAGUCAAGACACAACAUCAGAAACCUUACGGGAGUUUAGAACCAUUGCCUGUGCCUAUGGGUAAGUGGGAAGACAUUGCUAUGGAUUUUGUCACUAAACUGCCCAGAACAAAGAAUGGUCACGACAUGAUUUGGGUGGUCGUUGAUCGAUUCACUAAGAGUGCGCAUUUCAUAGCGGCCAGGGAGAAAUGGUCUAUGGAAAAGCUUGCGAAUUCUUACGUGAAGGAAAUUGUGAGGCUUCACGGUGUUCCGUUAACGAUUGUAUCGGAUCGUGAUAGCCGUUUCACCUCAAGGUUUUGGAAAAGUCUACAAGAGGAAAUGGGUACCAAGUUAUGUUUAAGCACAGCUUACCAUCCGCAGACUGAUGGUCAGAGUGAAAGAACAAUACAAACACUUGAAGAUAUGCUGAGAGCAUGUACCUUGGAAUUCCUAGGUAAUUGGGAUGAACAUUUACCGUUGGUAGAAUUUUCCUAUAAUAAUAGUUUUCACUCGAGCAUUAAGAUGGCACCUUAUCAAGCUUUGUAUGGACAGAAGUGUCGUACGCCGUCUUGUUGGCUUGAGGCUGGGGAAAAGCAGUUUAUGGGACCGGAGAUGGUUCAUCAAACUGCUGAAAAGUUGAAAAUAAUUAGGGAAAGAAUGUUAGCAGCUCAAGAUCGUCAAAAGAGCUAUGCUGACAAGAAGCGAAGACCGAUGACUUUUGAGGUUGGAGAUUCGGUUUUGCUUAAAGUCUCGCCGUGGAAGGGACUUAUAAGAUUUGGUAAAAGGGGAAAGUUGAGUCCAAGGUUUAUUGGACCGUUUAAAGUCCUUCAGAGGAUUGGGAAUCAAGCUUACAAGCUCGAAUUACCCGAAGAACUGAAUGGAAUUCACAACACCUUUCAUGUGUGUUAUUUGAGGAAGUUCACGGGAGAAGUUCCCGAUAUAAUUCCAAUUUCUGAAUUGAGAAUUGAUGAGAACAAAAGGUUGAUUGAAGAACCAGAGGCAAUUGUUGACCGAAAGACUAAGAAGUUGCGACGCAAAAUGGUUGGGUUAGUGCUUGUCCGAUGGAAACACACGAAUGGGCCGAAUCUCACCUGGGAGACGGAGAGUGACAUGUUGAGUCGCUAUCCGCAUUUGUUUGUUGAUGUGUGAUUCCGGGGACGGAAUCAUUCUAAGGUGGAGAGAAUUGUAACGCCUGUGUUUCCGGGCUUGCCAUUUUUAGCAAUGUAAUAGUCUAGGUUAACCUUUGUAACCCGUUUUGAAAUAAUAAGAUUGUAUUAUUUGAGUAUUAUGUGUUUUGUGCUUAAUUGCUUAAUUAUGUGGUUUGAUUAAUUAAGAAUAAAAAUAAGCGUCAAAAUUUAAGUGUAAAAUAAACUUAAUAUCUUUGGUUAAUGUUGUAGUAGUUGAAACGAGGUUUCCGAAUAUAUAUAGAACGCCCAAAUCUGACUUCGUAUGAGGAAGUUAUGAUUUAUCGAAGUUCCGGCUUAGCGAUAUACAGCCUGUUUUACUCGAUUUGAGAUCGAGCGGUUGUUAGCCGAAGCAAUCUAAAUGAGAAUCGAAGAUCUCAUUGUUGGUAUUGAAACGAUAAAAAGUUAGGCGAGAACGGACGUCAAACGAAGAAGUUAUGAAUUUAUAACGAAAGUUUCUGUCCCGGCCUAUUAAAAAUAAUUAAUAAAAAUAAAGUCAAAAUUAGCCGACGGAGUCUAAACGAAAGUCGUAGAGCGUGGUCUCACCUUCGCGUGGAUAUAAAGAACGUCGAAAACGGAGUUCGUAUGAAGAAGUUAUGAAUUUCCGAAGUUUAUUAAUCAUUUUGUAUUUAUUUUUAAUUCAAAAUUCGGAAGCAUUAUCCGAAGGAGUCACCGAUCUGAUCCGAGGUACGCCCCGCGUACUCGAGUACGCCCCGCGUACUCCGAGGGAUGUCGACACUCGCACUCGAGCACUUCGGAUACGUAAGCAAUGACGUUUUGGGCAGUACGCCCCGCGUAACGCAGUACGCCCCGCGUACUCCGAGGCUCCAGCCUCCUAUAAAUAGGAUGCGAGGGUUCCGGGUAUUUUUGCCAAUUCCCUCUCGUUUUCGUGUCGAAGCUCUGUGCAAAAACCCCCGAAGCUACCCCGAAGUCCCGGUAUCAUACUCUAGCCCCGAGGCAAGUCCCGAGAUCCUGAAGAUCCCGAAAAGUGCGGUUCCCGAGUCGAAGCUCUGCCCGCGAGAAGUUCGAUUUUCGAGAAGAUCUUCCAGAUCUGCUGUGGAUUACUACUUCUAUAAGCCGUAGUGCUGUCCGAUCAUCUUCUGAUCAAGUGAGUGUGUAGUUAUUUCUUCUAAUACAAUAAUACGAAGUAUUUUAUAUAAAAAUACGUGCUAUGUGUAUAUAUUUGGUUGUGUUAUGUGUGAAUGAGUAUUCACUCUCUUCUAUCUUAUAGAUCUGCUUAUUUCUUUAUGAGAUAUGUGUUAUGUGUGUGUGUGCCUCAUCUGUUAUGUGAUAUAUGUGUUGAUUAAAGCAUGCUAUACAGGUUUUCUUUAAACUAUGUAUACAAAUGUAUAUUUUUAUCUACUAAUAUGUUGGGUAGAACAUGGGUAGACAGUUGGUGUGUAAUAAACAGAUGAGAGGCCUCGUUGUUGUUUGAUUGAGUCAUCUAGCGGAGUUUAGAUGACGACCACUGGCUAUUCUAGACAGUCUUGUGGAAACAUUAGCAGGUUCGCCACCUGUAGGUGUUAAUGAACUUGGGUGUUCAUUCGCUGUACUCCAUCCCCCUCAUGGUUGCCUUAUUUGACUUAUAUUGCUGAGGUACCCCCGAAGCAUGUGUUGUCGCCCCGAUGAAAUAUUCUUAGACUAGGUCCCUUAUGUUAGUUGUUUUAGGGACAUUAAAGUGAGAAUAACGGGAAUGGGUAAUUGGGUUAUUGUUGGUUGGUGAAAAUUAAAUAUGAUAUUUAUUGUGGGUUGAAAACCCUAUAUGCUCACCAGGCUCCCAAGCCUGACCCACUCAGUUUUAAAUUGUAUUACAGGUAGUGGCGGAAGGGCAUGAGAUGGAUGAACCAUCAAGUUGUUUUGUUUACAAGUCUGCAUAUGUUUAUAUUUGUUAUAUGACUUGUAAUGUAUUCGUUUAUGCUUAUUGGUCUGUAUCGGAACAUGACACCCCGAGUUUUGAUUAUAAUGAAAAUACAUUUCUUUUAUGAAAUGCUUCGUUAAACGAUGUUUUAUCAUGUUUUGUUUUUGGGAACAAAUUCCGCAACUCUUUCAAAUCAAAAGGAUUUACUCUGAAAAUAUUUAAAAGCAUAAAUGAAAAUCGGUCUUUUCUGGCCGAGAUUUUGGGGAUGUUACACAUUCGCUACCCUGCAAGUAUAGUAUCCUAAAAGGAAAUGAACAAGUUUAAAAAAUCAAAAGAAUCUGGAUUUCACACGGGCUAGUAUGUUGUAACAACCCAAAAAUCAAGGGUAAAAAUUUCAUUUUUCAUUAUAGUCAAACACCAAUGUUACUUAAUCCAACCAUUCAAAAAUCAUUGCUUGAUUAAAACAUUCAUCAGAGUUACAUCUCAAAAUCACAUAAUGCGGAAAAGCACGGGUGUGUGUGGUGCGAUCAAGUCAGACCCUUCCUUUCCAAACCAAUGAUAGUUGAAACCAUAAACAAAGCUGUAAGCACGAAGCUUAGUGAGUUCCCCAUAGCAUACCCCACAUAAUCCACAUAAGUCAUAUAACCGCAUAAACCAUUUCAAUCACAUAAGCCAUAUCAGUCACAUAAGUCAUGCAUAUAAAUAUAUAGGGAUGUCGUGGAAACCCUCCAAGGUCUUACACCGGGUGCCAUAGGAACCCCCUCAUGGUCUUAACCUACUGCCAUGGGAACCCCCACAUGGUCUUAACUAAAGAUGCCAUACAAACCAUACAUACAAACAUAUAAGGGUUGCCCCAGAAACCCUCCAAGGUCUUACCUCGGGUGCCAUAGGAAACCCUUCUUGGUCUUAGCUAACUACCAUGGGAAGCCCCAUAUGGUCUUAGUCUGGAAUGCCAUGGGAACCCCCACAUGGUCUUAUAUCCAACUGCCUAGGGAACCCCCCGGGGUCUUUCAUGCAAUAUCACAAUGACAACUAACAUAUCAUAUAUCACAUAACCAACUAGUAUACCACAUAUCACAUAAUAGGCCAUGGGAACCCCCACAUGGUCUUAACUAAUUGCCAUGGGAACCCCCACAUGGCCUUCGCAUAAAUACAUAACAUAUUGAUAGCACAUUCGCAAGUAACCACUACCUGCCAGAGUCACGAAGACAACUGACAUACUACAUAUUGAUGGAUUUUAAGCACUCUAACAACCUUAAGGUGAAAAUACAACCCUAAAUGCUUUGGAUCUAUGUUUUCUCUAAUUGUACAUGCAAUUUGAUUUUCCAAAGCAUUAUCCUAACUAGCAUACAAAACAUGGAUACUUGUGUAACAAAAACUAGUUAGAUGGCAUACCUUUUCUUGUAGCUUGAUACCUUGGACCUUUAAGAUCCUAGCACCAUAAAUGUGAUGUCUCAAAUGUUUCACAAAACACCACCAAUAAUGGAGGACUUGAGAGAGAAUAACUUGCACACAAAAAUCGGCUAUGCUCUUCCAAAGAUCACUAGUGGCCGAUUUCAUGAGCUAAGGGACUCCUUUUAUAGUGUGGCAAGGAUUAGGGUUACACCCAUGUAAACCCUAAUGUGCAUGACCUUUCAUCUUACUUAGGAUCCAUGGGUUAAACCUCCAUGGACUAUCCAUGGACUACCAUAUUGGUUUAGCCCAUCCUAAAUAACCAUAGGCCCACACUAUAAUGAUCAUUGAUUUACCAAAUCAAUCCCCUUACAUUUAAUUAGUCUCUUUUGAUCACUAAAUUAAUUCCAAAUUAAUUCUUGAUCAAUACUAAUUAAAUAAUAUGAUUUCAUAUUAAUAUAUUAGAACUUAUAAUAUAUUAAUAAAUCAUAAAUAACCUUUUCUCAAAAGUCCAUCCUUUCAAAUUGUUCUAGUGAAAUGCAACCCAAAUGGACCAUGCUACUCUCGGGUCAAGUACAUAUCAAUCAUAGUUAUGGACUUAGACACCUUAUCCAACAAUCUCCCACUUGGAUAAGUUUAAUAACUAUAGCUUCCGGUACGACUUCAGAAACCGAAUAGCAAUCGUAGCUCUUAAAGCCUCUGUCAAACUCUGACAUGCCAUUUAGAUAAGGGAUCAUAUAAUCUUCUGUUCUUCAAGAUAUCAGCCAGACAAAUACAUGGAACAAUUUCAUACUUAUUGUCCAACAGUUUGUUUCUCGAUUUCCGAUUUGUUUGAUAUAGAACUUAAUCGAACAAAUCUAUUGAUUUCUGACCGGGCCCGACACAUAAGUCAAAACAAAAUCAUCGAGGGACCCAAGAUAUCACUUUUAAUCCUCCAAUGACUAAAAGGAACAAAUAAACUUUGACAAUAUAUGCUUGUACUAACUACUUGUUAAAUCAUACACAAUAGCGCGUUUUAUAACAUCAAGUUACUAAUGCGGUUUCGCAUAUCAAUGUACAACCAACUCAUAGUCAAUAGCUCAUAUAUCUUGGUUUGUAGACUUAUAAGAUAUUAUCGUCUCACGAUCACUCGAGAUAAAUUCCAUGAAGUGAAGUGAGCGUGGGUUUAAUCCAAUACGCAGACCUUAUGAUCACUCAUGAAUGUUGUAGCAAACUUUUCUAUGUCUAAUACACUUCAGACAAUCUACAAGCCAAAUUCAUGAUAGUCUUGCCUCAAUACCUACUUCCAAAGUAUGACCGACUAUGGACAGUUUUAAUAAUAUAAUUAUUAUGGAAGUCAAAACAUGCAAAAUGAAACAAUAGUAAAUGAUUGACACAAGAUAGUAACAUUACUUAUAAAUAAAAACACCUUUUAUUUAAUCAUCAAAUGUUAUUUACAUUUCAACUAUUACAAGUUUCUAAACAACUAUCUAAUCAUUAAAACUAAUAUCGUCCUUCAUCCUGAUGCGCCUCGCAUACUAUAAGUGUUUAACCCUACUCAGUCCCUUCGUGAGGGGAUCUGCAGGGUUCUCCUCUGACGAUACCCUCUUUGCUACGAGGAGUCCUUCUAUUCGAUGUGUCUGGAUCUGCCAUGAUCCCUUGGUUCCUUGGCUAAGGCAAUUGCACUCUCGCUGUCACAGAAAAUCUCCAUAGGCUCCUUUAUAGCUGGGACAGCUCAAAGGUUUCCAAUGAAGUUCUUCAGCCAUAUUGCCUCCUUCGUCGCCUCGCUUGCUGCUAUGUACUCUGAUUCGCAUGUUGAAUCAGCUAAUGUCUCCUGCCUGGAACUUUUCCAAGUUACUGCUCCUCCAUUCGGGGUAAAUACCUAGCCCGAAUGAGAGCGGAAAUUAUCUAUGUUGGUCUGAAAGUUGGCAUCACUAUACCCUGUUACUCUCAAGUCAUCACUCCCACCGAAGGGAAGGACCCAGUCCUUAGUCCUCCGCAAGUACUUGAGAAUCUUCUUUACCGCAGUCUAGUGAGACUCACCGAAAUUCCCUUGAUAUCUGCUGACCAUGCUCAAAGCAAAGGCCACAUCAGGAUGAGUACAAGUCAUAGUAUACAUGAUCGAACCAACUACGGAAGCAUAUGGUACUCGACUCAUCUCAGCUAUCUCAGCCUCUGUACUUGGACUCUGAGUUUUACUCAGUUUGGUAUUGGCUCGGAUGGGUAAGUCACCUUUCUUGGACUCCAUCAUGUUGAGUCUUUUCAACACCUUUUCCAAGUAGGUACUUUGACUAAGUAAAAUUAGUAUUUUACUCAUGUUUCUCAAUAUCAUUAUCCCCAUAAUAUUGGCAGCUUCUCUGAGGUCCUUCAUAGCGAAACACUUCUCAAGCCAGGACUUAACCUCCUGCAAGGUUGGGGUGUCAUUUUCUAUGAGUAGUAUGUCAUCCACAUACAAUACCAGAAGGCUAACUGUACUCCCACUAGCCUUGACAUACACACAAGACUCAUCAUCGCUUCUCGAAAAUCCAAACUCUUUGACUUUCUCAUCGAAACAAAGAUUCCAUCUGCAAGAUGCUUGUGUCAAUCCAUAAAUGGAUUUCUCAAGCUUACACACUCUAUUAGGGUACUUUGCAUUGACAAAACCCUCUGGCUAACUCAUGUAAACAUCCUCAGCCAACUUUCCAUUACGGAGAGCGAUUUUGACAUCCGUUUUCCAUAUUUCAUAAUCAUGAAAUGCAGCUAUAGCUAGCAUAACCCUAAUAGAUUUAAUCUUCAUUGCUGGUGAGAAGGUCUCAUCAUAAUCAACUCCCAGAGUUUGAGUAAAGCCCUUCGCAACCAUUCGCGCCUUAUAUGUGUGUACUUUCCCAUCCAUGUCUGGCUUCUUCUUAAAGAUCCAUUUGCACCUGACUGUCUUACGACCCGGUACAUUGUCAACCAAGUUCCAAACUUGAUUGUCAUACAUGGAAUGAAUCUUGCUGUCUAUAGCCUCUUUUCAUUUAACGGACUCGGGGCCUGCCAUGGCUUCCUUGUAUGUCACACUGCCAAACCAAGGAUCGCGGAAACGUCCGAGGGUGGAGGACUUCAUGUAUAGUAUCAUAACAACAAUUAUAGUAGUGCUCAAAGUAUAGACAACCAACAUAAAUAUAAUUGAAAAGGUUACAUCAUAAUAUAUGAUUACAUGUUUCCUAAUCAAUUACAUUAUGUUGACAAAAAGAAAUGAAACGUUUGACGCCUUAGCGUUCCAUCCUCAAAAGCGAUCAAUUACCUGUUUAUUUAUUCCCUGAGAAUACAAGUAGUUUUGAAAAAGUGUCAACAAUUAAGUUGGUGAGUUCAUAAGCUUUUGAAAGUGAUACUAAAAUCCUCUUCUUGUAAAAGUGAUGUUUGUUCGAGAAAAAUCCAAUAUUUUCCUUAUGUAGUGCAAUGUAGUCUUAAAAGUCAAGACCAAAGUGUACAAGUAUUUUACCAUACUUAAAGAAAUUUAUGCAAGUUUGAAUCGACAUAAAAUCGUUAAAUUUAGAAGUAAAACCCAUAAAUCGUUAAAUUUCAGGCGUUGCGGUUAAAUGACACUUGUCACCCCAGACCUGUCGGUCUAGCUGUUGCAUGCAGCUCAGGUGUGAGUUUGUCAGACCCAAUAUAGAUCUAUACACAACUAUCACGUUCUCCCUACAAGAGACUCUGGUUACAAUUUACAAGACUUUUGAUUUCGUUACUUUGGAUGUAACGCGAAGCGAAUAUCUCACAAAUUUAUUCAUUAACAGAUUUACGUGAACUGAACUGAAAAACUUUGGUAAUGAGUUUGAAAUGUAAUUGAAACAUAAACUAUACCUAUUAUAGUUUAUCAAAAACGUUUGUAAUGCAAAUGAACCCCAUUUUAUGUGAGUCGAAUGUAUAGCAAAAACAUAACUAUGUUUAUCAUGCCUUAUCUGGUAUUAUUUGUAAUGGCAAAGGAAUCUAACAAUCAACGAGUAUUUUCUUUUAUAUAAUUAUACCGCAACAGAAAACACAGGUAAAAUAUGAAAUCAUCAAAGAUUAACACUUUGCUCAACACGUUACAAAGUAUGAUGAAAGUUGUAAGCUAUUAACUUGUUUUUAACAUUACUGCACUGUUUUGGAAAAAUCACAGAAAAAUCAUACGAAGUCGAAAAAUUAAUCCGUAACCUCUGAGAGUUUAUAAAAUGUGUCUAGUUGGUUCAUAAAUUUUAUUAUGAUUUUUAGAUGUCUUUAACUUGUGUGAAAGUGUCCAUAUUCACAGACUGGUCCAAAUUCGUAGCUACAGUGAUAGGACGUUUUGUAAAAAUCACCAUAAAUUGUAGAAAAAUCGUAUGGACAUGUGCAAGUAGUCAUUUUAAAGGUAUAAACCUGAACUAUUUGCACCUAAUACAGUUUUGAAAACUAAAAAUUUUAAGAUGCUCAAAACAGUUCGUGAAUUAACAUUAAGUUUUCUGUUGAAAGCUGUUGUUUGAGUUUAGUUAUGUUGUUGGUGUUUUAACUUGUAUUCUCCCCCUAAAACUUGAAGAAAACAAUAAAAUGUGGGAGUAUAAACUUACCUUUAGUGAUUUUAGUGGAUGGAUGUUGAAGAAAGGAAGUGUUCAACUCAAGAACACUUAGAAGAUUGCUUGAAGAUUCGAAGUUCUAACAUAAAUAUGAUGAAGUUGGUGUAAGAAAUCUAUGAUUGAAGUAUAAAGAGGUGGAAUAAUCAUAUGAAGGAUGAUUUUACUUACCAAAGGUAGAUGAAGAACUUGCAAAUCAGCCUAGAAAUUUCGAAAUCUUUAGAGAGAGAAGUGAGAGAGAAUGGAGUUUGUUCUUUGGUGGAGUAGGAGUGAAGUGGGAAGAGAGAUGAGGAUUUUCCAGCUUUUGUUAAAGAGUAUGACUGGAAUAAUGGUGGGAAAAAGGACAAUGAUUGACCAGGUAUAGGGGAAUAGUGGCUGGGUAUGGUCUUGGAGUGAGUGUGGGAGGUUGCUUGUGUUCUUGUACAAAGGAUAAGUCAAUACUCCACCCACAUAACUUACCCACUAUAUUUUAAUAUUAAAUAAAGAUUCCCAUAAAAAUGUGUUUAAAUUAUGGGAAUAUGUGAUCUUAUAUGUUAAAAUAUAAGUUUGGGUGAAAAUCUCGCGUUAAAAUCACGAAAAACGGGCUUAACGUGAAAAUGGUCAAAAACCGGGAAAAUAUGCGAAAAUUCGAGAUCAGGGUCGGAGGUUCGGUCCCUUAUGAUUAGAACUGAAAGUAGGAGGGAUCCGAGGGGAGGGAUCGGUCAUAGGAGAGGAACCGAGAGAGAGGUUCGGUUGGGUAAAUUAGUAGGUGAGGAACCGAGCUCGGAAACAUGGAAGCGAAGGCGAGGUUCGGUUCUGACAUGAUCGGCUCUGACAAGCUCGAUUUGGUUCCUAGGGUUUCGGUUGAUGUGAGGUUCGGCUCAGGCAGGAGGUUUCUGUUCUUUGUGAGGCUUCGGCUCCUUAGGAGGGCUCGACUCCUUAAGAGGGCUUCGACUCCUAAGCGGCUGAUUUUUCACGUUAACUCUGUUUCACGUAGUUUAUGGCUGAGAUAAGGGUCGGGAUGACUCGGAUGACUAUAAAAAGUUGAGAGAGACUUUGAGAGAGAUUUGGGAGAGAUUUCUCAUACAUAGAGAGAUUUAGGAGAGAUUUCACAUACUUAGAGAGAUUUGGGAGAGAUUUCACAUACUUAGAGAGAUUUGGGAGAGAUUUCACAUACUUAAAGAGAUUUGGGAGAGAUUUCACAUACUUAGAGAGAUUUGGGAGAGGUUGAGAGAGACUUUGUUUGUGACCUUUUUGGGUGUUUAGCUUUGCAACGCAAGGUUCGUACACCCUGUUUAGCUUAGUUAUGAUGGUUUUAUGCCCCCGAGGGAUAUGAAAUGACGUUUUAUUAGUUUCAUCACUUACCCUGAUUAGGGUUUGAAAUUUCUGAACGAAUGAACUUUCCAAGUGAUAUCUUCUUAUUAAAAUAGUGAGUUGCACAAUAGUACAUAGUGUAAGCCCUAAUAUACAAGGGUUAGAUGAGUUGGCCGGUUUGACCGGUUGACUUUAACUUGAUCGGAAAUUGACGGUUGUCACAUUGUAGUUGUUAGGUUCAUCCAAAUUUAUCAGUGUGUUAUCACUGAUAAAUGUAUCACCCUCAGAUGUUAUAUGGAAACCAUAUAACACAGGUGGAACACUAACUCUAAUGGAGUGACUCAGAGGUACAAACUCGUCAAUCGGCUCAACAAGAGUUUCUUCUUUAGGUUGAUUGCUAGUGUUUGAGGUUCCUUCACCGCUGGACUCUUGAAGCACUUCAAGGUCAAUUUGCCUCCCACUAUCUCCUUGGCCUAUGAGUUCUCUCUCGCGAAAGACUCCUCUCCUUGUAACGAAGACAACAUUGUCACUUGGUCUGUAGAAGAGAUAACCAAAGGAUUUAUGUGGGUAGCCGAUGAAAAUACACUACUCACUACGAGGUUCGAGCUUGUCGUGAGUCUCAAGUCUCACGAAAGCCUCGCAACCCCAAACCUUGAUGUGUGCUAACGAGGGAACCUUCCCUGUCCACAUCUUGUGAGGUGUUUUGGCAACCUUCUUAGUUGGGACUAGAUUAAGGAUAUGCAUGGCAGUCUCUAAGGCAUACCCCCAGAAUGACAUAGGUAACGAAGCUUGACUCAUCAUGGAACGAACCAUGUCCAACAAGUUUCGAUUGCGCCUCUCAGCUACAAUAUUAAGGUGUGGUGUCCUAGGUGGCGUCAAUUGUGAAACAAUCCCACAUUCCUUGAGGUAGUCUUGGAACUCGAUACUAAGAUACUCACCACCCCGAUCGGAUCGUAUCAUAUUUAUCUUCCUGUCCAGCUGAUUCUCCACUUCUUGUUUAAACUCUUUGAAUCUCUCAAAGGUUUCUGACUUAUGUUUGAUUAAGUAGAUAUAUCCAUACCUACUAUAAUCAUCAAUAAAAGUCACAUAGAAGCGGUUAGCAUCACUUAUGGCAGUUCUGAAGGGUCCACACACAUCGGUGUGUAUGAGAUCCAACAAACCUUCACCCUUUUCACAAGUACUAGUGAAGGGUGACUUGGUCAUUGAUGUGUGUGAAACGAACUAGUUUUAAUCCUACUAACUUAUACACAAAAUAAACACACGAAAGGCAAUAUACCUAUCGAUUAGUAAUAUAGUUCAAGCAAGUAGGGCAUCGAACACAGGGAACAGAAAACAAUUAAAAUAAAUGCUAAUAUUAUCUAAAUAAAACAAGUAAUAGAAAGGGGGUUUUAUCUAGUUUUUCAAGACUAGAAACUUAACAAUGAAAUAAAACUCAAACAAAACAAUUAACAACUAAGCAAAUAAACAAUCAACUGAAUUCAAUAAUGGAUAAGACUUCUGUUUAGGUUUGAUUCAUUUACUCCUAUUGUUGAUUUAUGGUAAGUGCAAUGGAUUAUUCGUUAUUGGCUACCGAUUAGUGUGAUUAGGUUCACGUUCGCUAUUACUAAUCCUUAGAAAAUAAAUUAAUUCAAAUAGUGGCCAAUUGGUUAAACUAAUGAGUUUCCUAGAUUAUUGAUUCGGGUUAAGUAAGACUUGUAAUUAGCUAAUCAAACUACUAAUUCAAUUAACCUCUUUUUGAUGGUUCGUCACACAAGGCUCACACAUUAAUUUACCUAUUUUCUAGUUAACCCUAGUUUCACGUUCGCUAUUCGUAGGCAUACAACAAUGUUUUCACAUAAAUCAUAUGAGAUCGACAAUUAAGAGAUGUUCGUGCAACUUAAUAUACUGGUUAAUUAACAGAAAAUAGUUGUUGUUAACACAUGAGGAUCUUUAACAAGCUUAACAAAACAAAACUCACCAAAUUAAAUUAAUUCAACCACAAAAAUCAACACAUAGUCAUAAAUUCAUCUACCCUAAACAGAAGUUAUGAGUUUUAGCUCAUGAUUACAGCAGAAAGUAGCUCAAAAACGAAAUCUAAUAGUUUACACAUAGUUCAAACAAAAGAUUAAGUAAAGAGUAAACCUAAAUUGCCUUUUCUCUUCUCAAAAUUGAAGUUUAGGGUUGUUACACGAGUUCCAGAGCUUCUAACUACACCUCCAGUCACAAACUAAUCCCCCAAGGGUUCCCCCAUUCGUUAGGGUACGAAUGAGAAGCGUUUAUAUAUAUAUAUAUAUAUAUAUAUAUAUAUAUAUAUAUAUAUAUAUAUAUUAUUAACUUAUAAUAUUAUAAAGUAUNUAUAUAUAUAUAUAUAUAUUCAAAAGCCAGGGAUGACUCGGCGAGUCCAAUGACCGAUUCGAUGAGUCCAUCACUUAAAAUCCCGUGUACGACAAGUCAGCGUUGAGAAUCACGAACUUUCUGAUCAACACGUAGAGUUAAGGCCCAACUCAUUGAGUCCGUUUGGAAUCAACAUUUUCUCAAAACACGAGAGUCGUCCCAAAUUGUGUCUAAUUUUCAGGACAUUUUGAAUCUCGUCAAUCGGAGUUAUGGUUCAUGAGAUAUCGCCAAAACACUGAAGUGGGGUCAAGUUGUCCAGCAACAUCCUUCUUUCUUCAAAAUCCAAGAUCCAAGCUUCCAAUUGCUAAAUCUGCUUCUUUUUCCAUCCGAGCAUGUCUUUUAGGCUACAGAUACAUUUUAAACAUAUUUAAGUACCUAUUGUUCAUAAUUUGCAAUAAAAUAGCCGAAAAGUAUUAAUAUUUAACACAAAAUAUAUGACUAAUUAUGCACAUAUCAAAAUACCCCACACUUGACCUUUGCUUGCCCCCAAGCAAAACUGAAUUUUAAACAUACUAGCAUCACAUAAGACAAUCCCAAUUAAACCCAGCCAUUAUGCCAAGAUUGCAACACAUGCAUUUGUGUCUAAACUUUUCCUAAGGACCCCCUAAUUCUAAAUACUCACAAUCCUCAUAAACACCCGCCCACUUCUUUUGAACAAUGCUCAUUUUAUGCAUCCCUCCGAAUCCAUCUGCAAAAAACUUCCUAACCUCAAUGUAUUUUUGGUCCAGCAACCCAAGCAUACAUAAUCUAGAAAAUUACAACUUUUCGAUAUCACAAUGGAUCUUUUUGGAAUUCUUCACUUCUUUGAUAAUUUGGUCUUUGAUUUCCUUGAAUUCACCACCUUUUUUAUUUUUGGUAUCUUCAAAUUUUGAACUUCUUUAGAAUUUUGAUCUUUUUAUCUUUAUACUUUGAUUGCUCUAAAAUUCUUACAAAUUUUCUUUAUCAUUCUCUCUCUCUCUCUCUUAACAUGUAACUCACUUUUUUUUUUCAAUCAAUACCUACAUGCUUAAGCAAGGGCACUCAACUUCAACCUUUAUUGGUUAAAGGUAUUAGUCUUCCUGGGUACAUUUCAAGUACACGAUGUUAAACAUAUUGCAUCCCUCAAACUAAGCGAGGUUGUGUUUUUGUCCCACGAGUUCACUAGAAUAAAUGGGGCCACAAAUACACUAGAAUGUAUAUAGGCUCAACUAAACAUUUGGGUCCUCAUAAAAUCAUCAAACACAAUACUAGCAUGAAAUCCUAAUUGAUUUUAUCAUAAUUUUCUAAAUUAACCCUAACAAUUUUUAUGCAAAAUUUUAAAAAAUUAUCUAAAAUUUUCAAGAUUUUCGAAAUUUGACUAAAAUUUCAACUAAUGUAACCAACCCCCUACCCCACACUUAAUUUAUGCAAUGUCCCCAUUGCAAGUUAAAACAAUUAAAGAACAUAAAAGUAAAGAGAGAAUCAGAACAAACUCCCCUAGGAUAGUAAUUGCGAGGUUGAUCCUCUUCUUUUGAGCUCCAUCUUCAAUUGACUUUAGACAUGGGAACAACUCAUCCAUGUCUUGGGCGUCAAAAUCUUGAGUGGUACAACUCCAAAUAUGUAGGAACAAAAAAACUCUUGGAAAUGCUCGGAAAAUUAUCUCCAAAGAAAAGAACUAAUGCCCAUAUUAAGUGUGGUCCAAUAGUGAACUUGACAAUAGAAUAAUGAAUAACUCGACGAGUAGUUAUGCUAACUUGCCGAGUUGUAGCGUGACUGGCAGAAAAGUCGUGAUAUUCCACAUGGACUCGUCGAGUCCAUAAGAUGCACUCGACGAGUAGACCGCAGUGUGAAAAAAACUUGUAUUCUGCCCAGAUAAACUUUUUAUGUAUGAGGGUAAUAAAAACCAAUACUUUCCCUCAUUUCUUCAGUAAAUAAAUACUCGACUCAAAACUUCGUUUUCUCCCUUGACUCGAUACCCUCACAUACAAUCCUAAGCCUGAAACUGAAAAGAUAAAAGUAACCACAAGUGAUAGAAAACAAAAACAUCCUACAUAAUCCUAGUAACCAUAAGUUUAAAAUAAAACAAUUAAAACAAUUAAAAAGAAAGCAAACUCUAGAUAUCAGGUUGCUUCCCGAAAGCGCUUCUUUUUGAGGAGUCGUUAGCUCGACUCCUUCCCACUAUACGUUGCAACGACUUCCUCCAAAUCUAAUCGUUCCUCAAGUCUUUCGUCUCUUGGCAUUCCUUCUUCAUAUCUCUUCACCUGAUGCCCAUUAACCUUAAAUCUUGACCCAUCUUUGCCCCAUAGCUCAACUACUCCAUAAGGUUAGAAAUUUUUUAUUGUAAAAGGCCCGACCCACCGAGUGUGUAAUUUUCCCAUAAAGAGCUUUAGUCUUGAAUUAUACAAUAGAAAUUUUUGCCCUUCCUCAAACUCCUUAUUACCCUUCAACCUUGCAUCAUGCCAUCUUUUGGUCUUGUCCUUAUAAAUCAAUGAGUUAGUAUAAGACUCAUUCCUCAAUUCUUCCAACGCAUUCAUUUGCAAAAGUCAACGUGUACACAUCUCAUUGUCUUCAAAGCCCAAUAAGCUUUGUCUUCAAGUUCCACAGGAAAAUGACAAUUCUUACCAUAUACUAGCCUAUAGGGUGUGGUUCCAAUGGGUGUCUUGAAUGUGGUCCUAAAUGCCCAAAGUGCAUCAUCCAAUUUAUCAGCCCAAUCUUUUCUAUUAUUCCCCACCCAUUUCUCCAAUAUUUGUUUAAGUGUCGUAUUCGUAAUUUCAGCUUGCCCAUUUGAUUUUGGAUGGCAGGGUGUUGAAAAUCUAUGUCGUACCCCAUAUUUUUGCAACACUCUUGCUAGUUGAUCAUUAGCAAAAUGGGUUCCCCUAUCACUAAUUAGCACAUUAGGUACUCCAAAUCUUGAAAAUAUCUUUUUUAAAAAUUUGACCACAACCCUUGCAUCAUUGGUUGGUAAUGCUUGUGCUUCUACCCAUUUUGACACAUAAUCUACCGCCACUAGUAUGUAUUUGUUGCCUUUGGAUGAAGGAAAUGGCCGGAUGAAAUAUACACCCAAGACAUCAAAGAUUUCGCAGACUUGAAUGUUUAUUUGGGGCAUUUCAUUCCUUGCCGAUAUAUUACCCGUUCUUUGGCAAGCAUCACAUUACCUUAUGUAGGUAGCAUUAUCUCGAAAGAUAGUAGGCCAAUUGGACCCCACAUCAAAUACUUUUUUAGCAGUGUACUGCACCCCAUGAUGUCCUCCUGCUGGUCCAUUGUGACAAUGCUCCAAGAUGUCGCGACUUUCCUUGCCAAACACACAUCUUCUGAUGAUUCCAUUUGCACAACUCCUAAAAAGAUAUGGUUCAUCCCAAAAAUAAUAUUUAAUUUCUAAAAAGAGCUUCUUCUUUUGUUGAUGUGUAAGGCCUUUUCGAAGGUAGCCGCCAACCAAAUAAUUUGCAAUAUCUACGUACCAUGGUUCUUCAUCCAUGAGCAACAUCAAGUAUUCUUCUGGGAAGCUAUCUUCAAUACCCAUAUUAUCUAACUCCUCCCUUUCUGGGUUUUCUAACCUAGAAAGAUGGUCAACAACUACAUUCUCCAUUCCCUUUUUAUCCUUGAUCUCGAUGUCAAAUUCUUGUAGUAAGAGUACCCAUCGGAUCAAUCUCGGCUUUGCAUCUUGCUUGGCAAACAAGUACUUAAUAUCAGAGUGGUCAGUGAAAACAAUAGUUUUUGAUAAAAUAAGAUAAUGGCGGGAUUUGUCAAAAGCAUACACCACAUCUAAUAAUUCCUUUUCGGUUGUGGUGUAAUUUUCCUGGGCGAGAUUUAAUGUCUUGCUUGAAUAAUAGAUGGGUUGAAAGUGCUUAUCAACCCUUUGGCCAAGCACGACUCCUAAAGCAAAGUCGCUCGCAUCACAUAUUAUUUCAAAGGGUAGGUUCCAAUUUGGGGUGACAAUGAUCGGGGCAUUAGUUAACUUUUCUUUUAAAACUUCAAAUGCAGUUAAACAUUCGUUAGAAAAAUUAAAAGGUGCAUCUUUUAAAAGUAAUUGAGUUAGAGGUUUAGUAAUUUUUGAAAUUUUUUUAUGAAACGGCGGCAAAAACCCGCGUGCCCUAAAAACUCCUAAUGCCCUUCACAUUAGCUAGUGGGGGUAAUUUAGCAAUUGUAUCAAUCUUUGCCCAAUCCACCUCUAUUCCCGCCUUGGAAACUUUAUAACCUAAGACUAUACCCUCUUUAACCAUAAAGUGACAUUUUUCCUAAUUUAAAACUAGAUCAGUCUUUUACACCUAGCCAACAUCAAGUCAAGGUUAGUGAGACAAUCAUGAAAUGAGGAGCCAAAGACAGAAAAUUCGUCCAUAAAUACUUUCAUAAAACGUUUCUACCAUGUCAUGGAAUAUUGCCGUCAUGCAUCUUUGAAAGGUCGCGGGCGCAUUGCAUAACCCAAAAGGCAUGCGGCGAUAAGCAAAAGUCCCACUUGGGCAAGUGAAAGUAGUAUUUUCUUGGUCAAUUAGAUCUAUGGGGAUUUGAAAAUAUCCCGAGAAUCCGUCUAAGAAACAAUAGUAACUAUGUCCAGAUAAUCGUUGAAGAAUUUGAUCGAUAAAAGGAAGGGGAAAAUGGUGUUUACGAGUGACAUCGUUUAACUUUCGAUAAUCGAUGCACACUUGCCAACCGGUUACCGUUUGGGAAGGUAUGAACUCAUUCUUCUCAUUUGUGACAAAGGUCAUCCCUCCUUUCUUAGGCACCACUUGAACGGGACUAACCCAUGGACUAUCGGAAAUAGAAUAUGUGAUCCCUGCAUCCAAAAGCUUGACCACCUCCUUCUUUACCACUUCUUGCAUGUGCGGGUUCAAUCGCCUUUGAUGUUGCACUAUCGGUUUUGCUCCUUCUUCUAGGUUGAUCUUGUGGGAACUAUAAGAAGGGCUAAUUCCUUUAAUUUCAGUAAGAUUCCAUGCAAUAACAUUCUUUCUCCUUUUUAGAACUCGAACUAACUCUUCUUUUUCAGAUUCGGUAAGGUCAGAAGUUAUAAUUAUAGGUUUUUGUUCACCUUCUUCAAAAAAUGCAUACUCCAGAUGAUUAGGUAAAAUUUUCAUCUCUGAUUUCACGUUCUGUAUGCUAAACACGUCGAAUCCCAUGAAGGGAAUCAUCGAUUCCUGGGCAAAAUUCGUGUCUAGUCGCAUUUUUUCAGAAGGACUCGUCAAGUCGGAGGAUGCUACUUGGCGAGUCAGGCUUUCAGCACUUCUGUUUAAUUCAUUACAAUCAGCUUCUUUAAGCAAUCUCUGUAUCUCCAUCAGAUCUCUCUCAGCAUCAAAUUCAUCUUCAAAAGUAAUGGUAGACUUGCUAAGUUUAUCUUCCUUACACUAUUCCAUCAACUCUUCCAACAUAUCAAUCGAGAACGUCGUGUCAUCACUACACCUUGCAUGCUCCAUGGCUUGAUCUAUUCCAAAUGUAAUUGAUUCCUCCCCCAGCUGAAGGGUAAGUUUAGAAUCUCUCAUAUCUACUAUAGCACUCGCGGUGUUGAGGAAGGGUCUUCCAAGUAUAAUCAGGACUUGAGGGCCCGCCUCCAUGUCUAGCACUAUGAAGUCUGCGGGAAACAUGCAUGUGUCAACUUUUACUAAUAGGUCCUCACAUAUCCCCCUCAGAAAUGUUACCGUUUUAUUAGCUAAGUGAAUUGCCAUUUGAAUUGGCCUUGGUUCCGGAAGGUCUAAUUUCUUGAAAAAUGAGUAUGGCAUGAGGUUCACACUUGCCCCUGAAUCGGCCAAUGCAUGGAUAGUUGAUAAAUUUCCAAAAUGGCAAGGAAAGGUCAAACUACCCGGGGUCACCUUUCUUCUUGAGUAAUUUUUUUAACAUGGCGGCUGAACAAUUUUCAUUUAGAACCACAUUUUGUACUUCUUCCAUAUUCUUCCUAUUUGUAAGAAGCUCUUUUAAGAACUUGGCAUACUUAGGCAUUUGUGCAACUGCCUCGAUGAAGGGCAUAUUGAUUUGAAGGGCUUUGAUGUGUUCCAGAAACUUUUGAUAAUCAAUAUCAUUCUUAUCUUGUUUAGCAUGUCCUGGAAAUGGAAAUGGAGGCUGAUAUGGUUUAACAGGAGGCUUAUUAUUCUGUUCAGGUGGGGGACUCGUCGAAUCCAUGUCUUCGACUCAGCGAGUCGAAUCGGGUUUCUAUGAUUUUUGAUUUUCAGACUCUGCCUCUUGUACCUUUUUCGGGUCUCCAUUCUGAAUAGGGGUUAGAGGAGUAAUCAUCUUUUUGCUCCUAGUUGUUAUGAUGUUUAUAUGUGCUCCUUUCAGAUUGUUUUCGGUAUUACUAGGAAGCGUACCUGGUUGUCCUUCAUUUAUUUGUAGUUCAAGUCGGCCUAGCUGUUUUUCAAUGUUGAGGAUUGAAGCUUGCUGAUUUCUCAUCAAAUAUUGUUGCUCUUUCAUCAUGAGUUGUUGUUCUCUUAUUGCAACAUUAGUUUUGUUGUGUCGUUUCUCGGAUGCAGCUGCUAGUCUUGUGAGCAUAUCUUCAAAGUAUAGCUUUUUCUCUUGCACUGGUUCCUCUUUUUGAAAAAUAACAUCGUCUUCAUUUUCUCCGCCUUAGCCUUUUUGUACUCAUCAUAAGGUAGCCAUUCUCUUUUUGGUUUUUGCCAAUCUUCAUCGUAUUUAUCCCCACUCGAGUAACACACUUGCACCUUUCGGUUCCUAUUCUCAUCAAGAUCGCAAUCCCUUGUAAGGUGAGGUCCACUACAAUUUUCACACCCCACUCUAAUGGCAUGGAUGGAUUGAUCCAUCUUAGUCAUCCUUCGCUCCAUAUUCUCCAAUUUGGCCAUCACAGUUGCCAUGCUAUCAUUCACCGAGUUCUCCACCCCUCGAGUCGAGUCAUGCCUUAGGUUAUGAUAUUCUCUAGAGUGCUUAGAGAAUUCUUCAGUGAGUCUUUAAACUUCAGCCGGAUUUUUCUUUGUUAAAGGGCCUUGAGAGUCGAGUAAUUGUCUAGUGGUGACAUUUACUCCAUCAUAGAAGGUUGACACUUCUUGCUGCACAUUGAGGUCAUUUUGUGGGUAAUUCCUAAAUAGACCUUUGUAGCCCUCCCAUGCUUUGAAUAAAGACUCUCCCGCUUGUUGCUCAAAAUUGGCAAUGACCUUCUUGAGUUAAGAAAUUUUAGAUGGUGGACAAAAUUGUUCCAGAAACUCCUCACGCAUCUUAGCCCAUGUAGUAAUAUCUCCCGGUGGUAGUGCUUUUAACCAAUUCUUUGCAACCCCUUUAAAAGUAACAGAGGGCAUCCUUAAUAACACCGUCUCUCUAGGUACGUUUGGAAUGUUAAAGUAGUUGGUGAUGUCAUUAACUUCAUCGAGGUGCUUGUAUGCAUCUUCAUAAUCCUUUCCAGUGAAAGGAAUCUCCUUAAAUGCAGUAAGGAUGUGCCCCUUAAGUUCAAACGUGGUAGUGGCGGGUAUGCCGGGUUGCACAAGCCCCAGAGUGCUGGCGUCGUGAAUCCUCUUUUUGUAUGCCUCCAUCGAAAGGUUUGCAAAUUUGUCCAUUGUGUUGUUGGGAUCUUCUUCGUGAUCACUCUCUUCAAAAUCGGUAACACUUUCCUCCUUCUCGGUCUCGUACUCGGUGUCUUCUUUCGUGUUGCUGGAUUCCCCCACUUUCUUUCCCUUCUUCUUGCCAAAAACCUAUUUAAGACUCUUGAAAUGUGACUUCUUCGGAGUAUAUUCUUCGGUCUUGUCCUUGGUCUUGUGAAACGAUGAUUCCAGGUUUUCUAGUGGUGAAAUCAAGGAUGAAUUUGAUCCAUAGGUCAUAAACAAUCUGCAAGAAACAGAAAAACAUGCGUAAAAAGAACAAAAUAUACUAAAAAACGAAACUGACAAAUUGACUUGGACUCAUCGAGUCGGUGCGAACGGACUCGGCGAGUUCAAGGUUAAAACAUAAAAAAAAAUUAAAACGAAAUUUCUAAAAGAAAAGAAACUAAAACUUAAAUCUAAUUAAAACUUUUCCAAAAGCAGUUACUUUGUGCAAGAAAAUCUUACACAUAGGAUCAAUAACACAAGUAAUUAAAAUUAAUUUAGAACCGUUUCCCGGCAACGGCGCCAAAAACUUGAUGUGUAUGAAAUGAACUAGUUUUAAUCCUACUAAACUAAACAUAAAAUAAACACACAAAAGGCAGUGUACCUAUCGAUUAGUAAUAUAGUUCAAGCAAGUAGGAUAUCGAACACAGGGAACAGUAAACAAUUAAAAUAAAUGCUAAUAUUAUCUAAAUAAAACAAGUAAUAGAAAGGGGGUUUUCUCUAUUUUUUCAAGACUAGAAACUUAACAACGAAAUAAAACUCAAACAAAACAAUUAAGAGCUAAGCAAAUAAACAAUCAACUAAAUUCAAUAAUGGAGAAGACUUCUGUUUAGGUUCGAUUCAUUUACUCUUGUGGUUUAUUUUAUGGUAAGUGCAAUGGAUUAUUCGUUAUUGGCUACCGAUUAGUGUGAUUUGGUUCACGUUCGCUAUUACUAAUCCUUAGAAAACAAAUUAAUUCAAACAGUGACCAAUUGGUCAAACUAAUGAGUUUUCUAAAUUAUUGAUUCGGGUUAAGUAAGACUUGUAAUUAGCUAAUCAAAUUACUAAUUCAAUUAACCUCUUGUUGAUGGUUCGUCACACAAGGCUCACACAUUAAUUUGCCUAUUUUUUAGUUAACCCUAGUUUCACGUUCGCUAUUCCUAGGCAUAUAACAAUGUUUUCACAUAAAUCAUAUGAUAUCAGCAAUUAAGAGAUGUUCAUGCAACUUAAUAUACUUGUUAAUUAACAGUAAAUAGUUAUUGUUAACACAUGUGGAUCUUUAACAAGCUUAAGAAAACAAAACUCACCAAAUUAAAUUAAUCCAACCACAAAAAUCAACACAUAGUCAUAAAUUCAUCUACCCUAAACAGACGUUAUGAGUUUUAGCUCAUGAUUACAGCAAAAAGUAGCUCAAAAACGAAAUCGAAUAGUUUACACAUAGUUCAAACGAAAGAUUAAGUAAAGAGUAAACCAAAAUUGCCUUUGAUCUUCUCAAAAUUGAAAUCUAGGGUUGUUCCAUGAGUUCUAGAGCUUCUAGUUGCACCUCCAGUCACAAACUAAUCCCCCCAGGGUUCCCCUGUCAAAGUUCACAUUCAACUUUAGAAAGCGGUCCACAAACCUUUGCAUUGUAUUCAAGUGGGUCGUGAUGGGUUCACCAUCGUUCAUCUUAGUUUUUAUCAUGGAGGCGAUGGUUUCAUACCUCUCUUGACGAGCACUCUGAUUGUAUCUUUCCAUUAGGUCUUGGUGCAUCUCAAAAGGGUAGAAGUCCUCAUAGGACUUUUGGAGUUCAACUGUCAUGGUGGCUAACAUGAUACAAGACACCUUGGUGGCAUCCUUCUCAUGAGUCCAAAACUCAGCGAUCUCCUUAGGAGUAGCAUACGACUCAUCGAUUUCCUUAAGCUCCUUGUCUAGGACAUAUUCCUUGUCCUCAUAGUGAGUGACCAUCCCGAUGCUCCUAAUCUAGUCAUUGAAGUUGGUACCAUCAAAGACAACUCUCCCACACAAGUUCAUGAGAGAGAAGGAGCCAGUAGGGUUUGAGCCAGAAGCAGUGUUGGAAAACAUCUGAAAAAGAAAGACAAAGUUUAGAUUAGAUAAGAGUCCUUAAUAUAACACCCAAAUGAAAUAUUAAGGCUAGGACCCAACACAAUAUUUUACAAUUUGGAAGAGGGAUGUCGUAAUCCAAAUGCAAAAUAUUUGAAGGUAGGAAAAUGACCAUUUACCAAUUUCCACCAUGAAAAACGAAAUUUAUUAUUAAGUUUUAAUUGGAUUGAAAUUCCUAGAUUCCUUUGAGAUUCAUUGAAAUUUUCAAUGGCAUGUUUAAAUCUCGAUUAUGCCCUUCAAGUUUGUGACUAGGAUACCGAGGAUCACAAACAAGGUGUGAAUAACCAUGCAAAUGUGCUUGGUACACUCGAUGUCAUUUAUCACCUAAUCAAUGUGUCGGUUAACCACACACGCUCCAUCGAUCUAUGACAAAUGAUGUGCACAAAAGUACCCACUAAUUUUAAUAUUUAUAACCUAACUAACUUAAACUAACUAUGCACUUAUAGGCAGUGUACCUAAUCAGAUUACAGUAUAGCUUGGGUAAGUCGGGUGUCGGUCACAGGGAACAGUGUUACUAAUUAAUUUACUUACUAUUAAAUUAACCUAAUUAUUAACAAGUUUAAAAGGGGUUUUUUUUAUCUAAUUUUACAAGAUGAGACGAAUUUAAAUCAAAUUCAAUAUGUAAAAACACACUCUUGUCUAGUUUGAAUCCACUUCUUUCUUAUGGCUAGCUAAUGUUUAUGGAUCAUCUAGUUGGUUUUAAUUAUAUUAGUAAUUUAGUUCUAACUUUACCAAUAAUUAACUAAUUCAUGUCAAACCAUGUAUGUUCACACAUAAUUAAACACAGAAAUAAUUAUGAAUGUAAAUAUGUUAUGUAAGAUUUGUUAUAUAAAUGCAAUUAUAGUCACAAUACAUGUUCUCUAGCACAGCUAAGCUUAUUUACUCCAAUUACUAACUAAGAUCGGUCACUCCUAGCUCUAACAAUUCAAUGUUCACUAAAUCAUUAGGUAAACAAGUUCAUGCAGUUAAUGGUCACUAAGCUACACAGAACAUGCAAUCAAGCAAUUAGAGAAACAAACAUAAGCAUGCUAGGUUAUACAAAUCAAACACAAGCCAUUUUACCAACUAAAUAAAUCCAUAAAAAUUGAGCUAUUCAUAAGUUGGAAGCUUCAUCUAGCUAAACAAGAGUAGCUAGAUUCAGCUGCUCAUCAUAACAACUAACAAACUAACACAAAUUGAAGUGAUAUAAAACAUGUUCUAAAUAAACUAAAUUAGCCUAAAUUAUGGACCUUCACUCUUUUUGGUGUUGAAAGCCUCUUCCCAGAACUUUUCUCUCCUCAAAAUCGUCUUCUGGAACUCCUCUUUCUAGCCAAAAGUUCUAUCCAUUCGUAAUGGUCAAGGAUUUAUAUAGUUGCUGAUAUCCAUAAAUUCACGUCGUGAAUAAUAAGAAAUUCACGUCGUGAGUUGUAGAUAACUGUGCCCGUCAAGGAUUCCUUCACCCGCGUACAUAUCUUCUAGACCCAAGAAUUCACGUCGUGAAUUCUUUAGUCUCACGUCGUGAAUAAUCUUUUUCCAGAUUUUUCUUCUCUUUUAAUCUUUUAAUUCCCAAAGUUUCUUUCUUUAACACUUUUAGUCCCUUUUCUUCAAAAUGUCUUCUUUUUGGCUAUAAAUAACAUUUAAGCUCAUAAGUACCAUUAUUCUAAACAAAUUACCAACUUAUAAUAAAAAUGUACUUAAAUAUUGCCUAAAAAUAGGUAUAAAUAUGGCAAUAUCAACAAACAUCAAGUUACCCUUUGCCACCCUUACUAGUCCAAGUUAAUGUGUCGGUUAACCACACACGCUCCAUUAACGACUUGGCAAGGUACAAAGUGCAAUAUCAUGGAUUAGCAUCAAUUACACAUUUUUCCUAAAGUAACUAAGAUUGGGAAUUUAAUACAACAUUUAGUUACUUUAUAAUUUUCAUUAUACUUUUAACGAGAGUUAAUGUCAUAUCCUACCCGUUCGGGUAACGACCCUCCACCAGUCUAGGAUGCGGUGGGUGAGAGUGGACACCUAUUAAACCACCAUUUUAUAGACAGUAACCUUAUACCCCCCCUCUUAUAGACCGGCUUCGUGAAUGAGGCCUACUAACGGUAAGACUGACUUGUCUUAUACAAAUAUAUAAUUAUUAAAAUUUUAAUAUUAUAAUAGUAUAAGGGUUGAAUUUUAAACUUUUAAAAUGCUAGGGUUUGGAACUAAAGUAUUCAUAAGUGAUACUUUAUAAAUUUCAAAACUUGAGGGCAAGUUUUGAAACUCUUCAAAACUUUUCAUUUCCAUAACUUAUGAGUUUAAUGUUUUUUUAAAGAAAAGACCUUUCAUUUUCCAUUAUUUGAGGAUAGGUUAUGGAGUCCAUUAAAAGCAUUUAGAUCAUUAUUUUAAUUAACACAAUAAUCAAAUAAUUCAUAUAUGAUCUAAUUACACCCAUAAGAACAAGAUAAUUCAUAUCAACAAUCUUCAAGAAAUUAGCCUAAUCAUAUAAAAUAAUACAAAUCUUGAAAUUAUGAAAAUUAUCUUUUAAUUGGACAAGCAUGAUCAUUACCUUAUGAAAAAAUAGAUUUCAUGGUUCAAAAAAACAGUUUGGGGUAAUGAUCCUAAUCAAAUUUUUGGCCAAAAUUCAAAAUUCUGCACACUGAAGCACCAACUCGGCGAAUGCAUGAACUGGACUCGUCGAGUUGAUCAGUUUCUGACUGGACUCGUCGAGUCACCCAGUGGAGUCGGCGAGUUCACCAGUCAGAAGGCAGAAAAACAAUUUUUUCAACUUUGAAAACCACUAACCAUCAAGUAUAAUAGAAAACAAUCCUAGGCUCUGAUAACACUGAUGGGGUACAAAGUUCUUCAUUCAUGACUUUGUAAAUGUUUGACUUUUGUAAAACCCACUUGCAUGUGGUGCUUUAGCCUUUAGACCCAUUUAGUAGUUAGAGUGAGAGAGAGACAUGUAAACACCUCUAUAAAUAGUGGGUUUGUCCACUUGUAGAGGUGUGCUUGAGAGAUGUAAAAGUGAGUGUGUAAGUGUGUGUUAUUUAUGUAGUCUAGAUCUAGAUCAUUUUUUGUAACACUAUAUACAUUCAAUAUAUCUCUUAAACACCCAAAUCACCAUGUUCAAUUGUGCAAACUUUAAUUACGCAUGCCAAACCAUGUUCUUUGUCACUACAAUUGGUAUCAGAGCGGGUCUUCAAGAUCAAGGUGAUUUUUGAAGAACGAUUCUUGGUUUGACAAUUUUUGUCGCAAUUUGGUCAAUUUUGGUGAGUCUCUCUCUAUGAUCUCUCUUAAUCUCGUUUAAAUCGUGCGUAACGUUUUUGAAUUUUUGAUCGGUUUGUUUCGUUGGAUCUAAUCCGUGUCAAAAUCCUUUGAAGAUCCAAUAAUUUUUUUUGAUCAAAUCAUGAAAAUUACUAUCCACUGAUCACAUUUGAGCCCAAAAUUCAGAUUUAUUAUUGUUCAUCCUUCGUGAUUUAGCCCAAUACUCUUAAUCUGUUACUGUUCAUCAAUCCACUUUAGUGAGCCCAAAUUCAAUCACAGCUUAGAGAAGUCUUUGAUUUAGUCACACGCUCUCAAAUGAUCGAUAUCUAUGAUGUUCUUCAUCUUUCGCUCUUCUUCUGUACAUUUCGAUCUAUAAAAGUCAUUCAUUGAUCUUCUUUCGGUUUCUACUAAUCACUUCUAUGAAUCGAUGAAUAUUGGUUAUGAUUCUAAAGUUGUGAAUCGAUCUUCUUUUAUAUCAAUGAUGAUCACGUUAUGAUUUUGAAACCGGAUGAUAUGGGCUUAUUUAGUCAUAAAAAUCAUGCAUGAUCUUAAUACUUUGUGUUGUUUUUGUCUCAUUUAAUGAACAAAAGGUGCUUAAUUAGUUUAUAAUUUCAUUUUUCAGCAACAAGGACAUGCUCGGAAGGAAAAUGAAGCGGAAUUGGGGAUUGGAGGCUUGGAUCUUGGAUUUUGAAGAAAGAAGGAUGUUGCUGGACAGCUUGACCCUUCGUCAGUGUUUUGGCCAUAUCUCAUGAACCGUAACUCCGAUUGACAAGAUUCAAAAUGUUCUGAAAAGUAGACACAAUUUCGGACGACUUUCGUGUUUUGAGAAAAUGCUGAUUCGAAACGUACUCGGCGGGUAGGAUCGAUUACUCGGCGAGUUGUAUCGAACUUUCGCGAUUCUAGACGCGCUGACUUGCCGUACACGGGUUUUAAGUGACGGACUCGCCGAGUAGGUCACUGGACUCGCCGAGUAGCCUCUGUUUUGUGAAAAUCUAUAUAAAGGGACUUUCAGAUCGAUAUCAUAGGAUGGAGAGAAACCCUAGGAGGCUGAGAAACGAUUGGAAGUGCUGCUAGGUCGUGAGGAACUGAAGAAUCAACCCUACAUUCAAUUGUGAAGAGAAUCAAGACAAUUUUGGUUUAUUCUUAGUAACUUUUUGAUUUGAAUCAUGUUUACAUACUUUGAUUUCGUUUUUGAGUUUAUGUUUACUGCAAUCAUGAGCUAAAAACUUAUUCUUCUGUGAGGGUAGACAAUUUUGUGAACAUGGAUUGAUUAUUUGAGUAGGAUUAAUUUUAAUUGGUAAUUAUGUUUAGUUAAGCUUGUUAAAGAACCUUAUGUGUUGACAAUAACUAUUCUUCUGUUAAUAAAUCAGUAAUUAAGUUGUAUGAAC